RNAcentral lists this long non-coding RNA (54221 nucleotides) under Malus domestica (apple). RNAcentral describes it as "long non-coding RNA (MDOM_LNC009181)". Lineage: Eukaryota; Viridiplantae; Streptophyta; Magnoliopsida; Rosales; Rosaceae. The record is from RNAcentral.
CUCCUUCUCUUUAGUGUAGAUAAUGUAGUAUGUUAAAAAAAUAAAAAUAAAAUAAAACCCUAUAGAAUCAACGAUUUCACACAAUACAUCAUUAAAGAUAAAUAAGAAUUAAUGACACCACUUUUAAUAAAAGAAAAACAUAAAAGAAUAUUACUACUUGGUAAUUAAGUGUACUUUUCUCACUCACCCUUUUCUUCCAAGAAAGAAUGCGUAACGUGGGGGAACCAUUUCCCUCUUUCUUAGGACACUUUAAUUUUAUUUAACCGCACAAGUCACAAUUGCUUGUACUUGAGAAUAGCUUGGCAUGUAUGUUAUCCAUUUGUAUCUUCAACUAGUUUAGUGGCUAUGAGACCCCACGAUUCUCAAUGUGAUCAAUAUCGUAAAGAACUUGUUCCCAAUCAAUCAGUAUCCGUACAAUUAUUGACAAAAAUGCAUCUCUAAACCAAUAACACGAUUACACGCAAGUUUUAAUGACCAAAGUGCCCUAUAAGUUUCAUAGUGUCAAAUCCGAUUGGAUCGAGUGUUACUGGAUAUUGACUAACAAGAUACUGAAGAAUCAAAUAAUUCUUGUUAACCAAUAAUUUCGAGGUAGUUAGUUACUUUCUUUUUUUUUCUUGUUUCCUUUGGCAGGAACAUCUGAUGUCGUACCCAUGUAUCCAUAUCCACUGGUUGAAGUGGUACUUGCAAGGGAGCAAUGAAUAUGAAUGUGAUUCUUUCUUCAGUUUUUUUUUUUUUUUUUUUUUGGUUAAACUGGGAAUUCUCAUAACCAGGGCACAAGCCAGUCUAAGUACAACUGAGGGGCAAGCAAAGAAAACAACAAGGGAAAUAAACAGAUAGAAUUUGGAGGAGGAGGGGAUAAAGGAUAAGACACCGCAAUUAUUGCAAGCAUCACCCCACCAACUCCUAAGCUAACAUAGUUAGGUGGGACGACAACACAGCACGUCCUUGUUCCGGAUAUGCACUCGUGAAGAUGGGGGUCGAUUGACCCACGUGCAAACACUCAUUUCCAGGAAAACGAAACCCUUUUCUCCAAAGACCACACAAGAUGAUCAGGCAUGUGGGGGUCCCCAAUAUGUGUUUUCUGAAUCUCAAUCAAUUCAUGUUGAGCAACAAAGGGAGUGAGGAAAUCCUACUCCCAAUUGUUAGAUUCAAUAUCAAUUAACAAGUUGACGCGGAGGUCCCGACUAACAGGAACGGAGCUACACAGGAUUGGGUGUCCAAGAGGCAGAGAAGGGAGCCAACGGUCGAUCCAUAGCCGAACACUCUCAUCAUUCAUCAUUUGUCAGUGGGCCCCCUGUAACAGUAUUUCUCGAGCCUCAAGUAGGCUUGCCCAAGAGCUUGCCCUUAAUAUACGUCAGGGCCUUUUUUUUUAUCUGCCCUAGAUAAACGGAAGCUCAAGGUACAUGACAGGGUCAGAGACAAUCAGAAUUAGGGCUGGGUACGGGCCGGACUGGGCCCAUUUUUGAAGGGACCGGACCAGACCCGGAAUUAAAGGAGACGGGGCGGGCCGGGCCGGGCAUUACAAUUCUGAAAAUAGGAACCGGACCUUACCCGGCCCGGUUGAAACGGGCCGGUUCGGUCCGGGUACACGGGUCCUUUUUUAUUUUUAUUUUUUUUUCCUGUUUAAAAAUGUUUGCUGCACACAGAUUGCAAUUUGAAAAAACUGCACAGAUUGCAGUUUUUACACAUAACAGAUUUCACAUAUUGCAGUUUGAAAAAACUGCACAGAUUGCAGUUUGAAAAAACCGCACAGAUUACUGCACAGAUUGCAGUUUCUCAAACUGCACAGAUUGCAAUUAAAAACUGCACAGAUUGCAAUUAAAAACUGCACAAAUUGCAGUUUUUUACUGCACAGAUUGCAGUUUGAAAAAACUGCACAAAUUGCGGUUUGCAUUUUGCAGUGCACAGAUUGCACAGAUUGAAAAAAAACUGCACAAAUUCCACAAAUUUCACAGAUUCCACAUUCCACAGAUUGCAGUUUGAAAAAGCUGCACAUAUUCCACAAAUUGCAGUUUGAAAAAACUGCACAGAUUGCAGUUUGCAUUUUGCAGUGCACAGAUUGCACAGAUUGAAAAAAAAUACGAGCAAAGAAGCUACAGCAACCAUUAUAGUUAAGUAUAGUAAUUCUUUAGUAGCCCAGACGGGUAAACAAUCAUAUCAUAGAAACUUGCUAAUAAACAACACAAUGAAUCAAAACCAUUGAUACAACUCACAAACGUAAUCUUUAAUGUUCACUCUAAAUACACUAAAAAAUUCUGCUCUUUAUACAGAAAUCAAAUUUGUCAAUGUUGUGGAAUUGUAACAAACAAUUAGUUAUGCAAUCUAAACUUGCCAAUUAAUUAAAAAUCGCAGAUUAGGCAAGGGAAAAUGUAAUAAUCAGCCAAUUCGAUAACGGUAUUUAACCGGCUUGAAACUGUUUACCAAUCAACACCAGAAACCCCACAAUUAUGCUUCUGGAUAGAUGCUGCAAAUCACUAACAUUUUACGGUUCUCAUAUCCCAAAACCGAAAAGGCUAAUUCCGAUUCUUUUUCCAUUCUCUCAUUUUCCUGCAUUUUCUCAGCAACCAAACACUGCCUAACGGCAUUCCAAAAACUACACAAAAACAAUUUGACAUUUCUCAAGUUGCACAAUCCCAAUUUUGCCCAAAUGAGAAAUCAGAUGAAUUUUCGAUAGAAAAUGACGAAACAGAGAGAGAUACUUAUAUGCUAGAACGGCAAAGAUGAUGGCCCAAGGUUUGUACAGGGGAAACGACGACGUAUUGUGGUUCUCUGACUCGCUAGGGUUUCGAAGUGUGAAGAGUGGGGAAGGUGUGCACAGAGAGACUUCCAGUUCCUACUUCCUAGAGGUUUAUGGCGCGCUUGAUUUCCUCAAUUUUACGGCAGAGGUGGUGAUGGGGAUGAUGAUGUUGGUCACGACUCGCAACAGCGCUGUGAGAGUGGUGAGGUGAGCACUGUGAGUCGGAGUCGAGGGAAGGGAUAGGGAGAGGGAUAGGGAGAGGGACUCAGGGAGAUGGAGUCGAGGGAGAGUCUGAGUCUCUGAGAAUCUGAGAGACUAAGGUCUGAGGCUGCUGAGGCUGAUGAUGCUUCUGGAACUUGGGACUCGGGGAAGGUUGGUUGGCUAGGGUUGAAAGUUGAAAACUUGAACUGACGGUUAAGAUUGGAUGGAGAGAUGAUAUUAAAUCUCGUCCGUCCAAUCUAACACAAACUAGCCGAUCCGGGUACCUGCGAAUCCUAUAAUUUUGGAACCGGCCCGCCCCGCCCCGAUCUAUUUUUACAAAACUAAGAACCGGCCAGUACCCGCCCCGUACCCGUAUUACCCGCCCCUACCCACGGGUCCAAGACCCGUUUGCCCAGCCCUAAUCAGAAUACCCAAUAUAUUGUUGGAAAUAUGCCCUAAAACCAAUCAUAUGAUGAUACUUUACGGACAUUUCACAUGUUAAACUAAUCUAGUUUAAUAUAAAGGGCAAAAAUUAUUGUUUUAAGUCAUCUCAUAUAAAUGUUAUAUACUUAAAUGAUAAGUCCAAGGAAUAUGUAAUUGGGAGAAUGUGAUAUAAAGAAGUUAGAUUCAUGAGACCAUUCUCUUUCGUAUACAUAUCUUAAACGUUCCUGAUCAUAGGAUUGCCAAUUGGGCAUUGACGGUCCAUUAAGAUCAUUAUGUACUAUGUCUUCUCUUAAGGAGAGUGACUGGUCUUGAGUCAUUGGUGUGACUGACACCAAGACAAGCAUGUAGGUGCUCAAUAGAGAAUGAGUCCACUGAACACGAUCAACAAGGAGUUCUCAUACUCAUGUCACAUGAGAACUCAUGGUUAGGAUAAUGCAAAGUAGUCAUUUGACCUGAGGCAUCAUAGUUGUCUUAUGGUUAGGUCUUUGAUCUUUAACUAUGUCAAAGUCACUCCGUCAUGGGGUGUCCACAGUGUAGUUGGGCUUAAGUCACUUAGCCUUGGAGGCAAGUGAAUGCGCAACAAGGGAUCUCUGACCUUCAAACCGUUUGAGGGAGAAUACUCUAUAAUAUGAUUAAAAAUCUCUGGCCAGAGUAUGAAUGAGAUUUAGGAAGUCGUUCCAAAUCACAUUCAAGGUAAUCAUAUAAGUAAGAGAAUCACAUUGGAUAGUAGACAUAAAUAAACUAUCAAACCAAACAAUGUGGUCAAGAGUAUUGUAUUAGAGAAAGACUGUAUUGCAUUUCAAUCCUAAAUUGAAUAUGUUCUCCACCUAUUCUGAUUAGCUUGGGUAGCCAUGAUAUACUGCUAGGUGUCACUCAUGGUUUGUGGAAGCCCUAAAGGUGUGUAAUCACUAAAGAGAGAAUUGAAAGUAAGUUUCAAUUCACAAUCGAUUUGAAGAGUUCUAAUUGUCCACUGCCUCGCUAAAAGGAACCUAAUAGAUCGUAUACCGUGUAAGGUAGAGAUUGAAGAAAUAACGGAGAUGAGUAAGGAUAAUUAAAUGGUUUAAUUAUUUAUGGUUAGGAUGAAUUAAUAUGUUAAUUAAUCAAACGAAUAAGUUCGUUUUAGACCUUGGGUUAGUUUUGGGCCUUCAAGGCCCAAUGGGCUUCGAAUGUCAAGCCCAUUGACUUAAGUUGUAUGAAAACUUAAUGAAUAAAGAUUCAAGAGGGCCCAAAGACCAUAGAAGGCCGGCCAUAUUGAUGAAAUAGGGUUUUGGUUCUUUUUGUCACUUAAGUGAAGUGACUAUAUAAAGAACUUUAUAACCAAAAUUCAUUAAGGGUUCUUUUAGAGGAAAUUGGAUAGAACAAGUCUCUCCCUUUCUCUCUAGGAGGCCGGCCCCUUGGAGAAGAUUAGCUAGCAAUCUUCCCUCCUCCAAGGUUACUUAUCUCUUCUUCCAGGCUCUCCUUGGUGUGGAGACUUAGAGGUUCUCUAUUUUGGGAACUUGAAGAAUCCAUUAUACCAUCCUCAUCCAAGAAAUCCAUGGAGCUAAGAAGUACGGAAUGAAUGUCCUAUCUCUUUGGUGAUUAGCCUUUGCUUAUGCAAAGAGGAAUCAACAAAGGUAUAAUAUUUCUCAACUCACUUUGUUCUUGAGUUGAGUCUUGAUUCACCACACUCACUAGGAUUUGAAUUUCAUGGGUAAAGUUUUGUUUUUGAGUGCAUACAAGCAUGAUUCCGCAUUUAAUUGUUAAUUGCAUGUUGUAGAUGUUGCUCAAAUGAACUUGUUGUUACAAAUAUUUCCUUCAUAUAUCACAUAGGUGGUUACCGAUUGUCGUGGGAACAUUUGCUCUGAGAUAGACGAUGGACCCUAAAGGUUUAUUUGUUGCCCCGAAGCCUCACAGUAGGCGUUGAGGAUUUUGGUGAUGUUUUGGGCAUUUUUUUGGGGGGAGGGUGUGGGAGGGUAGCUUGUAGGAAAAUAAGGGUGUCAACCUCGAAUAACAGGUGCGAAAUACUAGGGCACUGCUGAUUAAAUUGUAUGUUUUUAAUAGAACCCUCUUACACCGCUCGUAUAUUCCUAGAAAGGACAUCAUUGAUGAUGAGAAACAGGUAUGGUGAUAGUGGGUCACCCUGCCGAAGGCCCCUAGAAGGGGAGAAAUGCCUACCCGGCUGACCGCUAACAAGAACUGCAAAGUCCACUGUAGAGACACAUGUCAUCUUAAGAGAAAUCCAUUGGUCAUUGAAACCCAUUUUUCGCAUGACAGCCUCCAAAAAUUCUCAUUCUACACGGUCAUAAGCCUUACACAUAUCAAGUUUGAUGGCAAAUUCGAACUUUCAUUUUUCCUUCCUCAAUUUCAGGAAGUGGAAAAUCUCAUGUGCCACCAUAAUGUUGUCCUAGAUUUGGCGUCCAGCCACAAAAGCAUUAUGCAUUGCAGAAAUAAUGCUAGAGAGUAAUGGUUUGAGGCGAUUUGCAAGGAUUUUUAAGAGGAUUUUGUAUGAAUAGUUAUAGAGGCUUAUGGGUCGGAAUUGGCCCACCGAACCGGGUUAGGCGAUUUUGGCACCAAAAUAAUGUGUAUAGAAUUAAGCUUUUUUGGGCUUGCAACCCCCGAGAAGAAAUCAGCAGCCUGCCCCAAAACCUCUUUGUAAAUAGUCUCCCAUGCGAAUGAAAAAAUACCUUUGGAACCCAUCCGGGCCCGGGGCUUUAAGCCCACCCAUUUGGAAGACCGCCUCCCAGAUUUCAAGCUCAGAGAUUGGCAUUCAUUUCCUCAUCCACCGAGCAUACAAUAUCAUCCACUACAGAACCCCAAUUCCGCGGUCAUUGGGAAGUGAAUUGUUUGAUAAAGUGGUCAUCAAUAGCGGAUCGGACCCGUGAGGGAUUAUCCGUCCAGCACGCAUUAAAAUUGAUUUGUUCCAGUUCCUCCCUCACUCCAUCCUUCCUGAUCACGCUCGACAUCGUUCCAAUUUAAUUUCCUUUCCCUAGAACCUAGAACCUAGAACCUUGAACCUUGGUUUAGGUUUCAGUUUCCACCCUGAAUCCGACGACUUCGGCAACGCCCUGCAUGCAUCGAGGUUGGUCUCAAACAAUUCCUCAUCAUCUCAAGUACUUUCUAGACCUAUUCAUGCCAAACUCUUCUUCAAAUUUGUGAUUUAAUAUAACGGAGUUUUAGUAAAUUUUUCACGGUUUUGUCGAAUUUCACGUUUAAAUUUCUGGGUUGUGAAGAAUUCUUCUUUUGAUGUCAUUUUAUUUGAGCAUUGUUGAGCAAUCUGGAUAGCGUCAUUUUGAUGAAAUUUCGCAUUUACUAAGACGUACUCCUGGGGAUUCAGUUGGAUUUAGAAAAUUAUUGUCAUUCGAAUUUGUUUUACAUCUGAUUCAGUUGGAUUUAGGGGUUGUGUAUUAGUGUUUCCUGGCCCGAGUUGGUCCUCGUCCUCCUCUCAUCCUCCUCUCAUCUUCUGCUCUGUUCUGUCUCCUAGUUUGUAUGGCUUUUCAAAUCCUCAAACGCACUCUUUCUUCAGCAAGAAAACCCAAACCCCUCUCUGUCUCCCGUUUCUCCUCCUCUUCUCCACCGUCCGAUCAAGCUCCAUCACAAACCAGCCCCCUAAUCUCCGACGUCGUUUCCAUCCUAACCCACCAGCGCUCCAAAUCCCGAUGGAGCUACCUUCACUCUCUCUACCCCAACGGCUUCAACCCGGACGACUUUUCCAAGAUUGCCCUCCACAUCAAAAACAAUCCCCGUCUUGUCCUCGCCUUCUUCCUCUGGACCCAACGCAAGUCCCUCUGCAACCACAACCUCCUCUCUCACUCCACCGUAAUCCACAUCCUCGCCCGAGCCCGGCUCAGGUCCCAAGCUUACGACCUUAUUCGAGCCGCCAUUCGGGUAUCCGACGAAUCUGAGCCUUUGAAAGUGUUUGAGAGUCUUGUCAAGACCUAUAGGCAAUGUGGGUCGGCGCCCUUUGUGUUUGAUUUGCUGGUCAAAGCUUGCUUGGAGUCGAAGAAAAUCGACCCAUCAAUCCAGAUUGUGAGAAUGUUGCUGUCUCGUGGGAUCAGCCCCGGAUUGAGCAUCUGCAAUGCUCUGAUUCGGCUUCUUUCGCAGCGUCGAGGUGCGUAUGCUGGUUAUGAGAUUUAUAGGGAGAUUUUUGGAUUGGAUUGUGAUGUUUUAGAUAAAAAGGUGAAAAGGGUUGCUAGAAUCAGCCCGAGUGUGCAAACUUUCAAUGCAUUGAUGUUGGGUUUUUAUCAGGAUGGUGUGGUGGAGAAGGUGAAGGAGAUUUGGGAUCAAAUGGCGGGUUUGAAUUGCUGUCCAAAUGGCUAUAGUUAUAGUAUUUUGAUGGCUGCUUAUUGUGAGGAAGAUAGAAUGAGUGAAGCAGAGGAGUUGUGGGAAGAAAUGAGAGCUAAGAGUGUGGUGCCUGAUGUUGUUGCUUAUAACACUAUGAUUGGUGGGUUUUGCAAAAUCGGAGAAAUUGAAAUGGCUGAAGAGUUUUUCAAAGAAAUGGGAUUGAGUGGAGUAGAGAGUACUUGUGCUACGUAUGAUCAUCUUAUUAUUGGGUACUGUAAAACAGGAAACAUUGAUUCUGCUAUGCUCUUAUAUAAGGACAUGCUUAGGAAAGAUUUCAGGCCCGAGUGUUCAACAAUGGAUGCAUUGAUUCAGGGGCUUUGUGAUGAGAGUAGGGUUUUAGAAGCAUUGAAUGUUAUGAGAGGUGCAACGGUAGAUUUUGGUUUUUGUUCGACCGAGAAGAGUUAUGAGACUCUGAUAAGAGGGUUGUGUGAGGAUGAGAAGUUGGAAGAAGCACUUAAGCUUCAGGCCGAGAUGGUGGGAAAAGGGUUUAAACCGAAUUCUGAGGUCUAUCAUGCGUUCAUUAGUGCGUAUAUGAAACAAGGGAACAAGGAAGUAGCAGAACGGUUGAAGAUAGAAAUGUUGGAUGCUCAGAUGUGUGGGAAUGGGGAUUAGAUGAUUUAUCAAUUUUAAAAGUGCAAAACAUUUUUCGGUACACAGUUGAAAACACAUGAACAUACUGCUGAAGGCGUACUCAGCAAGGUCGAUGGAUGUCGACUGGGACAAUAGGGGGAGGUUUGUAAUGAAUAUGCGUUUGGAAGAAGGACCAACAGUAUAUGUUUUCAAUUAUCAAAAUACUAAAUCAUGGAUAAAGUUAACAAGAUUGCAUGAGAGACUGAGUCUUGCCUUGAAUUCCCAACACUGAUACUCUCUCUUGAAGAGCUUGCGCUGGAAGGCUCUGCCUGUUGUCAAAAACCUAAGGAUGGCUGCAUUUAUUCCAAAAAUGUGCUUAUUCUAAGAUGGCUGUGUAGCCUGAUAGAGGGAUAUUGGGAAGCACUGAAAACGAGACCAAGAUCUUGGUGAAUCCUCACAAAAUCUUACAAAGAAAGAGUUCCCGAAGUUAUGUCUAGAUAGCAGGAAGGGUUUCCAUAGAUACUGGAGUGCUUAAAAUAAUGGGGAAAGCCAAGGCAGGUCUUGCUGCUUGCAAGGGUGAUGAACUGAACAUGAUAAUCGCUUUGUGCAGCCAGCAUACCAGGUUCUUAUAUUCUGCUCAUGAGCUGAGGUAGAUUGGUCAUACCAGGUUCUUAUAUUCUGCUAAUGAGCUGAGGCAGAUGGGUUAAAUUUUUGGAGUGUGAAGUCUGGUUCAGUUAAUAUCAACUAAACCUGAAAUCCUUUACCUGUAUCUGUAAUUUAUUAUCCAAAGCAAUACAAGCCGUCUCCCGGGUAUACCGGAUGAAGAAAAGCACUGUUGAGUUGUAAAGUUUUCAAUUUGUAUGGCAUGUAUUCAGCUUUUGUCAAGUAGGAAAGACCAGUAAAUGUAUGCUUAUUUUGUUUCUAAGUUGCCAGAAAUGGAUGAUGCUUUACUCUUGCUGUAAAACGAUUGGUCAUCAAGCUGUUGAGCGUUUAAACAUUGAAUGAAACUUUUAUUCAUGAUUUACAAUUGCUUGUGUAUGAUUUGAACACUAUCAAAUACAAGCCUAUGGUUUCAAAUAGUUUUGAGUCCGAUGUUCACAAAUGUCUGCAGAAGUCGAAGACAAGCUGUAUUCAUGUGAGAAGUCACAAGGACGGAAGUAACCAAAGAUUGAAAAAAGACGAAGCCAAAGACAGAAACCAUGACAUGAAGGCCAUCGCAGCCGAUAUUUUAUAUCGGCUGCAAAACUUUGGAGGGCAGUAUGGACCGUUAGCAUGGAGCAUGAUAUCCACAACGCUAGUCGUUGAGCAAGCUGCAGCUAGAGUGAGAAUGGAUAAUACCUGUUGAGAAAAAUGUUGAAUCAGUUACAAAAAGUUGGUGGUUGUGAGUGAGUCUGCAGUCCGCAAAGGGUGUACAUGUAUCAGAAUGGUGCUUACUGCUUAGUCUGCUUACCCAAUCUCCAACAACGAUGAUCAGCAGUAUUCCAGGCUGACGAAGAGGGCACUUCACGAGCACAGAGUAACCAUCCACCAAUGCCAAAGUGAAACUCCAAGGUAUGACCAGACCCAUGACUGUUACCAAAUAGCUGCAAUGUAAAACACGGGAGCAAUGUUAAAUGUUGAGCACUGCAUUAUUCGAGUUUGACAGAAAACACAGGAUUAAAAGGAAUCCAUCGUAUUCGUUUAAUUGGUUUUUUUUUUCUUUCAGGCUUGUUGCCCAUUAAUAAAAUUGUUAUUUAGCAUUUCAUUGGUUCAUUGACCAAUUUGAUAACUAGUGGCAGAUUUACAUUGGGAUUAAGGAGGUCCCAGGAUCACGCAGAGUUUGGGAAAUAUACUUCCAAGGACCUUCUAAAUAUUUGGUACAGGUCCCUUUUGUGUGUACCAAUUUUUUGAUGUUAUGCAUGCUAGGUAUAUAUCUCGACAGGUUGCGUCAACGGCAAUCGAUAAAUUCUCUCGAUAUCACUCAUCAAAUUGCUUUAGCAUAUGUCGAUAUCUGUUGACACUAGUACUUUAACAUUAGGACCCCCUAAAAUUCGAAUUCUGGUUCCGCCACUAUUGACAACCAAAACAACUUAGUUUUAUAUGAAUAAAAAAUUUCUGACUUGAUAACACUUGCAGAGUCAGGGGUCUAAAGCCUUCCAUUGUAACCCAAAACAAAAAAUGGAUGCAUUUCCCUGGUUGGCUAAAAUGUUCUGGCACAAGAAAAAAUUGAUCAGAUAAAGAAUUAGGGGUCUUAAAAUUGGGUAAAUCACAAAUCAAUCUAUUUUCCAGUUUCCAGGUUGAAUCGUAAAAUUGGGUUUCACUGUACUAUAAGCAACUUCCAUUAACAUUCAUGCUUCAUGAGACAUGCAUGAGACAAAAUCAAUCAUCCAAAUAAUGAAAUUAUUUUUUGUUCCACCAUUUUCCAACCAAAUUCUAAAUAAAAAGUCCAAAAAAGAGAAACCGUAAAACAAUGAGGCAAAUAAAUUAUGAAAAAAUUUUAAAAAAAUAUAUAAAAAAAAAAAAGUUACCAGAAAGCAGUGUAGCUGUAGAACUCCACACCCAAAGACAUGAAGAGAAGAGAAGCAGAGGAAAAGAUGGCCUGACCCAAUCUCAAUGAGAAGCUGGCACUCGUCCCUACUGAUCCAGGUACCUCAUCCAUGGCCAGCCCUUUUUGCAUAUCUAGGGUUCAUCUUAAUCAUUUACAUCAUCCACCAUUCCUAACAUCGCUCCCUCUCAUAUCCUCUAAGCGAAAACCGAAAACUAAAAAAACUAAAACUAAAAGCUGAAAUGGUUAUCAAACUGCUCUGCAGUUUCGGAAAUGUUAUCAUUUUCUUACUCUUGUUCAUGGAAUCUGGAUUGCUUCUCUUCUCUCCAUUUUGCACUGUAACAGUAUAUUGGCAAAUUCUCAGGUGGGUGUUUGGACUCGUGGAAAGUUUUGUAGUUAAUGGUGAUUGAAGAACAAGUGUGUUGGAUUUGGACAGCUGACCUGACUUUUUCUUGGGUGGCAUCGUCUCAAUGGACGAAACUGAUUGGAGAAAAGGUGUCUGAGAAUGCUGUAGCUGUAAGUGUAAGAUGCUUUUAUACUCCUUUUUUACGCACUCUUGUAGUAAAGUUUGUUCCAUGAGAAAGAAUAAGAAUAAUAUUAGUAUAGGGUUUGGGAUUUUUCUCGAAUUCCAUUGUUUUAUUGCAAUUAUUGGCGUUAGAUCGACCGGAUUCACUCUUAUUUAUAAACGGUGUCAAGAAAAUGACCAACAUCAACAUGUAUGUUUGAAAGCAGAGAUUCGAACCGAAUACCUCUUACUUCCAAGUGAAGUGAAGAAUAAUAUCAUUAAACCAUGAAAGGCUAUUGUGCAAACUCUUUACCUACAAGUUUGGAUUUUCUCAAAAAAAAAAUUCAGUUGGUCGUAUCCAGCCUAUUUUUAAAAAUAAACAUCUCGCACACACUCUCUUCCCAAAAAAAAAAAUUAAAUAAAUCAACACACCAAGCACUAUGUUUAAAUUUAUUAGAUUAGUUGCUAAAAUAACGGUAUUAAACCCGAAACUCCGGCAGAUGGCCAAUAACCCAAGAAAAUAAAAGAAUUGGUUACAUUUUUCAUAUGAUAUAGAUGGACUAAUUAUUUUAUUUGUAUUAUCACGUAUUGUAAGAGAUAUAUAUAUAUAUAUAUAUAUAUAUAUAUAUAUAUAUAUAUAUAUAUUAAAAAAUUAGAUUUUAAUUCUUAAAUAAGAUAAAAUUUAAACUAUAUUUGAUAAAAUGUUAAGACAGAUUCUAUUUAAAGUCUUUUUUUUUCUUUCUAUUUUUUGUUCUUCAUCCUUUUGACAAAAGUGGCGGCAAAGUGGUGGGGCUGUUGGGUCGGCUUCUAAGGCCAUCUCCAACCGAGGGCUGGCCAGAGGGCUCGUUUGAGCCAUCUGGCCCUCCAAGAUUCCCCAAGAUAUUAAUAUUUUAAUGAAGCCAUAUUUACCUCCGUCUCCAACCGAGGGCCAGAGGGCCAGAGGGCCAAAGGGCUCGUUUUAGCCCUGUCACAAAAAACCGUCUCCAACCGAGGGCCAAAUGACCAUAGGGCCAAACAUAAUUUAUUAUUUAAAAACUACAAUUUAAUGUUGUAUAAAUGGCCUAGGAAGUUAUACGAAAAAAAUAGAAUUGAAAAAAAAUAUGAAACAAAUUUUGUAAAAUAGAAGUUAUAGGAAAAAAAAUAUGAAAAAAAAAUUGAUUCAUAUGAAAAGGAAAAAAAAAGGGAAAAAAAGAAGUUUAAAUUCAUUAAAAAAAAAAAAAAAAAAAAGAGGCCUAAUAAUCCAACGGCUACUAGCCGUUACAUUCAAAAACAUUUCAAACUAUUAGUGUCGGUUAUAACCGACACUAAUAGUAGAACUAUUUAAAAAAAAAAGCUCUUUAAUUCUGUCGGUUUUAACCGACAGCAAUAGGAAACAUUAAAAAAAAAAUAGCCAGCCACCGAAAGCAGCCAGCCCUCCAGCCCUCUCCGAUCCCGUGGGGCCCUCCCAUAUUCCAGAGCCCUCUGGCCUAGCCCUCGGUUGGAGACGGUUUUAGGGCUAUUUUCGGCCCUCUGGCCCUCUGGACCCUUCGGUUGGAAAUGGCCUAAAUGGCAAACUAUUUACGGAUUAUUUUGUUCAAAAAAAUAAAUACUUUAGAGCAUCUUCAAUGUUUAGGACUCCUACCAUACCUUUGAGGCUUUGAGUACUUAUUUAAGGACUUAAAGGGAAUCUUUGUGUCUCUAAAUGAAUAUUGUCUCCAAUAGGAAAGUCCUUAUAGUAGAAUUCCUAAAUUUAAGGUUUUUACAAUUUUAUGUGAUAAUUUGACUAAGUACAUAUUUUUUGUUUAUGUUAACAUUACGUUCUCGUAAAAUAUUUUUGUGAACAUUUUAACCAAAAAACAUUCAAAUUCUUACACUAAUUUUUUUCUUCACAAAAACAUAACUAGAAAGAGUGAACUGAGUAUAGGAGAUGAAAUUGUGGUAAGUUUUGGUUAGAAAAUUUGGAAUUUAUAGGAAUGAUGAGAGAACAAGAUGAAAAGUAACCCAAAUUGAAAAUAUUAAUAUUUCAAUGGGGGCAUUAUGACAAGAGAAAAAAAAAGAAUUUGAAAACCAACAUGAAAGAGUAACCUAAAUUGAAACGGUUAUUUAAUUGGAACCAUUGAUCUUUCGAUGGUAAUAAAUUUUGAAAAGUAAGAAUCAAUCUAGACCCUCCAUUUUAAACGGUCGAAAAGAAUAAAAAAAGACAAGGCCAUGUGACUAGGACCCACACCUACUUUUCCACUUAAAUUGUCAUAUUGGAUUCAUCAUUUUCAGUCCCUAUAGAGCCCCUUAUAUGUGGAUACAUAAACCAAAUAUCCGGCGAGUCCCUAUACUUUGGAGACUCACUUUCCGAAUCAUUGGAGAUUUAUUUUGUCUUUAUAUUUAUUUUAUACUCAUUUUACGAUGGUUGUCCCUAUAUAGGGACUCCACUGGAGAUGCUCUUGGUUAAAUUAUUAGUCAAGAAAAAGGUGACAAGAAGGUGAGGUUGCCAUUGCUUUAGAAGGAAGGGUUAUGAAUUUGCCACUUGUGAUGCUCUCAAUGAAUCCCAAGUUAGGGGAAUUUCAGGUGGUCAAACAUGUAAAUUUCCUAAGAAAUUCGUAUCAUAAUUUUCCAUGGUUUUGAUUUUGGAGGUUAAUUUUUGGAUUGUGAUCUGUGAGGAUCGUGUUCGAGAUGCAAAAAAUCAUUUAUCUCUGCUUCGGAUGCUAGUCUUGUACUGUUACAUCAUAUUCCAAACUGACGAAGAAUGCAUCUUACAAAGAGCAGAAGCUGCAGAACAUAGGAAGAAGAUUACAUAUUGAUCACUGCAUUAUUAUAGAUUGUGAGAAAACACAUGAUUAUUAAUUUGUAAGAUCGAAACUAUACAAUUGGUUCACUUGGUUUUCUGGAUUAAACAAAUUUCUCCAAAUAUAAAAACGCGUCAUUUAUGAGAGUUGAACUUGAGACAUUUUUCUUACAAAUAAAUAUGAGUAUUAUUAGACCGUAGUUUGUGACACUUUUAAGGUAUGUUAGAAGUGAGAGACUUUCAGAUACUUAAGCGUUUAGAUGGAAAAGAAAUAGAUGACAAAAGGUCAGAUAGUAGAACUUAGAAAAGGCACUACAUGAGCUUUACAAUUGUAUGCGUGCAAGAGAAAUUUGUAAAUGAUUCAUUCUAAGUAGUCAUUUACAAAUCUCACUCACAUGCAUAUUGUAAAGGAAGUAAUUUUCAACACCCUAUUUAGCCUCUUACACACCCAUGUUGAAUUAUAUCCAUUGAUUAUCAUUUAAUUUAUUCAAUUCGACGGUCAUAAAUAAAGAAAAAUACGUGAGAAGCUAAAAAGUGUGUGAAAAUCACUUUCCCUAUUAAAUCACUUCCCCGAGUGUAAACCCUUGUAGUUUAUUAUCAACAACAAAUUUUAAUAACAAUUGAGCCAUUGGUUAGCAGAAUGCAUAUGGAUUCGGUCCUCCAAUCCACAUAACCCUUUUUAAAGUUGUUAGGGUUUCUAACUGUUACGGUUAGGUCUCCUAGUUUUUAGGGUUUGUUUUAAGUAAUGGCCUAAUAAUCCCUAUUCUUGAGGUUUUGUUGCACUUUCUGUUUUAAACUUAGUCGAAUACCACGAUUUUAGGGUUGUUAAUCGUGGGUUGUUAUUCCUUCGUUCAGUUUCAUUGUAAGGCUAUUUAAAAGCUAUUGUUACUUUCUAAUCCAAUAAGAAAGGUUCUCCCAAGCAUCUGGGUGCAUUAUCAAACUUUACGAGAUUUAUUUGUAAUUCUUUCUAGUUCUAACAUUUGGUAUCAAAGCCCCAUCAUGAGGCCUGAUCAAAAGUCUAAAUAUUGUCACUAGUUCAGUGUGAAGUAGCAACGACAUGGCUGCUUAAAGCAGUUUUCAUGCAACCUGCAAUCCCAAAGUUUGAUGGACACUACGAUCACUAGAGCAUGCUCAUGGAGAAUUUCUUAAGUUCCAAUGAAUAUUGGAGCUUGGUGGAAACUUGGAUCCUUGGAGCAACAGAAGGGAUGGAUCUCACUGAUGCACAAAAUAAGACAAUUGACAAUCAAAAGUUAAAAGACAUGAAGCCUAAGAACUACAUGUUCCAAGCCAUUGAUCAAUCAAUUUUGGAGACGGUCUUGAAGAAGGACGCUGCAAGGGAUAUUUGGGACUCUCUGAAGCAGAAGUAUCAAGGCACGGCACUGGUCAAGGUUGCCCAGUUGCAAGCUCUUUGCAAAGAGUUUGAAAUACUUCAUAUGAAGGUUGGAGAAUCAGUGAAUGAUUAUUUUUGGAAUGACUCAAACCUUAUUAGCUAUGGUAAGAGUUCUUCCAGAAUAAUCAUUCACUGAUUCUCCAACCUUCAUAUGAAGCACUUCAAACUCUCUGCGAAGAGCUUGCAACUGGGCACGGUUGACCCCGUGCCGUGUUUUGAUACUUUUGCUUCAGAGAGUCCCAAAUAUCCUUUGAUGUGUCCUUCAAAAUCGUCUCCAAAAUUGAUCGAUCAAUGGCAUGGAACAGGUAGUUCUUAGCCUUUAGGUCUUUCAACUUCUAAUUGUCAAUUGUCUUAUUUUGUGCAUCAGUGAGAUCCAUCCCUUAUGUUGCUAUAGGGAUCCCAGUUUCCACCAAGCUCCAAUAUUUAUUGGAGUGUAAGAAAUUCUUCAUGAGCAUGCUCCAGUGAUCGUAAUGUCCAUCAAACUUUAGGGUUGUAGGCUGCACAAAACUAUGUUCAACAACCAUGUCGUUACUGCUUCACACUGAACUAAUAACUGUAUUUCAGACUUUUGAUCAGGCCCCAUGAUGAGGCUCUAAUACCAAGAACCAGAAAGAACGAUAAAUAAACCUCGUAAAGUUUGAUAAUGCACUCAAAUACUUGGGAGAACCUUUAUUAUUGAAUUAGAAAGAAACAAUGGCUUUUAAAUAGCCUUACAAUGAAUCUGAACGAAGGAAAUAACAACCCAGAAUUGUGGUAUUUGACUAAAUUUAAGAUAGAAAGUGCAACAAACUUGUCCCUGAAGAAUAUGGAUUAUUAACCAUUACUUAAAGCAUACCCUAAAAACUAGGAGACCUAACCCCAAAGGCUAGGAAACCCAACAACUUUAACACAUUAAGCUACAUAUAUACGCAUUAUGUUGUGUGUAUUGGGAUCUCUCGUUUUCUAAAAGUUAAGAAAUCUUCAUAUGGAAUAUAUUUAAUGGAAGUUUAAUCAGCGUUGAUGACAGUGCUUUUGUGGGUAUUUAUGAUUACUGUUAUUUUGUAAUAAUUUUGAAUUUCGUUGUUCGAAAGGUAAACCCCAUUGUAAUUAUGUUUAAACAAUCCAAAAAUCAUUUUUUUUCUUUUUUUCUUUUUUAACAAACGAUAUUAUCUACAUUAACGGAGAUAAGGGUGGACUUAGCCUCACAAUGGGCUAGCAAUUAGGGUUGGGCAAACAAGUCCUGGACUCGCGGGUCGGGUACAAAUUUCAAAGAAAAUGGGCCCCCAGCUUGAACCGUUUCCACCGUUCAUUAUAGGGAGAUUAAAUCUCCACCAUUUAUUUCUUAAGUUAUGUAGAAUUCUCCAGACUUCCAGAGUCCUAAAUCCUGACUUCGAUCACAGCGGCCUUCAAAUCCUGACUUCUCUCAACCUCGAUCUCGAAUUCUCCCAGCUCCGUCCGUUCGAGUGUUUAUGCAUGAGGGGCUUGGUUGUCCAACUGUAAGUAUUGUUGGAAAAUUAGGAGCAGUUGACAGGGACGAUGACCGAAGUGCCGGUAGGCAUGGGGUCGACGUCGGACACGUUGUUGGCGGAGGCGAUCUGGGUGGGGAAGGAGUUGAGGAGGUAGGCGAUGGAGGAGGGAGAGUUGUAGAAAUGAGGGAGGGAGCAAAAGGUGAGGUAGGAGAGGCAUGAGGAAGCGAUGUCGUUGCAGACGUAGUCGUCGGUGGUGUUGUGGUGGUUGUAGCAGUUGAGCUGCUUGUUAUCAACUAGCAGCGCCGUCGAGUCGUCGGGGGUCAGUCGGUCUCCAUGAGCAGCCUCUUUGUUCUUCUCCGGUUACCUCACUACUGUAUGACCCGUGGGGACCCGUAGGAACCGGCUCGUUUCAAAAGGGUCAGGUUAGGUUCGGAUCUCAUUUUGAAAAAUCCAAAACCCACCCCGCCCCAUGUUAUUUACAAAUGGGUUCGGUCCGGUUCCUUCAAUUUUGGGCCCAGCCAGGCCCAUGCCCACCCCUACUAGCAAUAAUGUAGUUCAAAUUCGUCUUCAGUGAGAAUUGACUCUAAAACCUCUUACUUAUAAGUGAAGAGGAAUAUUACUAAACAGUAGUACGAAAUGGCUAAAGGUUGAUACUUUAGAAACAACAAUUUGAUCUUGAGGUCAACUUAAAACAUUUCUAACAGGGUUCGAAUUUUUGAAUGUGGUAAGUUAUUCAAUGGUGAACUAUUUACAUAUGGCCUAAUUGAUGGUGAUAGAGUAGUUGGAAGAUAGCCUAUGUGAUUUUUUUUUUUUUAAAAGGAUUUAAGUCAUUGUGGUGAAGUAUGUUAGAAUUUAGGCCUAAAAUUAAAAAUUAUGUCAACUCUUUGUUAAUUAUUAGCACAUGAGCCACACAUAUUAGGCUAAAACGGAACUCUCCAUUAAUUGUUAGCAUGUGGAGCUUACAUGUGAGGCUAACAUUAUCUUUUUAGUCACACACGUGAGUCUCAUGUGCUAACAAUUAACAGAGAGUUGAUAAAAUUUUCAAUUUUAAGCCUAAAUCCUACAGAUUUCAUCACAAGAACUCAAAUUUUAGUUUUUUUUAAUCCAAUUAAGUCUUUUCAUAGACGUUAAACAAUUAAUUAAAUCAUUACAACAAGGUGGGGCUGAGCCAUUUACUUUGGAAGGAGGCGCUUAUCAUAUUUGACAAAAUAUCGAGAUAACUUCUUACAUGAGUAUUUUCUUAGUAAUCGAUAAUGAUGGAAGGUAACAUGGUUUAUUGUUUGUCUUAGAGGGAUUUGGAUCCUCUCCUGAGCUUAGGAGGCUGAGCCUCCUGAGCAAAGCACAUGGGCCAUUAGAUUUUGAUUCAACGGCUACAAUUAUUAUAACUUUUAAAAGACCCCCCUGUUUGUAGCUGUUAAAUCAAAAUCCAACGGCCCGUGUGCUUUGCUCAGAAGGCUCAGCCUCCUAAGCUUAGGAGAGGAUCCAAAUCCGUCUUAGAGUAUCUCGAGAGUAGAUGUCACAAACGCUUAGUUGGACAAAAACGAAUAUUUUUAACAGCAAAAGUGAGUCUAACUGAUGAGCCAAAUGCUAACUUGGAUUGAAGGAUUUGCUCCAUGUGGAAUGAUGAUCCUCUUCAGAUCCUCUUUGUGAGGAUCCCAGAGAUUCUUUAAUCGCGUAUGUUUAUUGUAUAUUAUGCAUCCAAUUUUCGUUAGGAACUAUUUGUGUUCAAUUUUAAAAAAAAAUUAAAUGAUUUCUGACACAUGAUAUAUGAUGAACGAAUACGAUUAAAGGAAUCCGGAAUCCUCACAAAGAGAAUCCAAAGAGGAUCCUCAUUCAUCCAUGUGUAAAAAAUGACAGCAAGAAAGGUUGAUGCCAAAUUAUUUUAAUUUGAUUAAUGGCAGGACCCACAAAAUACAACCUUUUUUUUUUUUUUGGAAACUGGUUAAUUCAUUACCCGGGCAAAGAUGCCAGUCAAUACAAGAAGAGCCUUCAACGAGGCAAGCAAACAACAAAGCAAAGGAAAACUACGGACAACAGAGGGAGUUACAAGGAAGACACCAUAGCCAAGUUAUCGCGUUGCCCCCUCCAUUGCCCGUAUUACAUUAAGGAGGGCACAAUAACCCGUCAUUUUGAAACACAAAAACCAGUGAAGAUGGGGGUUGUUGACCCAAGAAAUAUUGCACAUCUCCACACAUAUUUUGCUUCUUUUGAAAUUGUUAGUUUCCACUUUCUUUAAUAAAUAACUCACUUUGUUCAAAAUAAUUCACUCAUAAAUAUUACAAAAGAAAAUGAAAUGAAAUGAAACAUUGUGACAUAUCAGGUGGAGUAAGAAGUUUGCAUGAUGUCAAAUUGUCACAUAAGUUAUCAAAUUAAUAUUUAAUAUUUUGCAUUUGACAUCUCUUUUAGAAAUACUCUUUUAAAUUUUUAAUUUUAUUUCAUAAAUAGAGAAAGAUGACUAAAUUUUAAGGAUUAGGAUCCUAUCCGGAUCUUCUUUUUGGGGAUUCAGAUGAUCAAUCAAUCGUGUUCAUUCAUUAUAUAUCGUGCGACUAAAAUUUUUUUGAAUUUUUAAUUUAAAAUGAAACACAAACAACACCUAACAAAAACUGUUUGCACAAUGUACGAUAAACAAACACGAUUAAUUAAUCCUCUAAAUUUCCACAAAAAGAAUCCAGAGAGGAUGCUCAUCCAAAAUUCAAGACAUCUUUUAAUAUUGAGACGAAUUUCGGGAAUUUAUCACAGUUGCAUACGUGGAGAUGACUUUAUCACGGUUGUCCUGAAGGCUUGUUUGGGCUAUGCCAGUUUUUAAGCAAUCAUUGGGCCAGUUCAGGAAUCAGCUGCUCCUUUGUACUAAAAAACUAUUCAUAUACAGAAAAUAUUCCAGUCCGGUACUUUAGCACUUAUCGAUGACAAAAUCAACAAAUGUAACGUAGAAGUACCAGCAAUGUGUCUAAGUACCAUCAAUAAUAUUGACGACUUAGGACGUCUUCAAAUACCAAGCAAAAAGUGCAGUCAAUAAAACAGAAAGUGUCUAACAAAAAUGAAAAGAUACCCGAACAUAAACCACUGCAGGUUCAUACUGAUCAACUCCAAGAUAAACAUUAUGAAUCAAAAUAAACUCGAUAGUAGCACUCAAUAACUCGUCUUCAUAUAAAGUCCAACUCCUCGACUCCUAGACCUGCACCAUCAAAGAAGAAAAAAUGAGAAUCGAUGAAGAAUAUCUUCAUUACUUUGAGCGAUUGAAGAUUCAAAUGCUAUCAUUAUUAGUCAAUGAAGAAUAUUGGGAUAGUAUCCUUUAAGAAAGCAAUGACACAACCAACAAACAUCACAUUAAACUUAUGAGCAAGUAGUCUACACGUGCAUCGUCUUUUUCAAACAAAAGGUAUAUAAGAUGAUGUUACUAGGAUACUACACAGCCACAAUCACCAUAAAAUGCGAGUUCAAACAUCAAGAAAAAUUAGCCAGACAAUCAGAGUGGACAGAGACAUUGCCUAAUUAAUUAUCAUCAAAUAACUAAAUAAUCACAUAUUGUCCCAACAAAACGAAAUCUCAAAAUCCUCGGGUUUCCUGCGUAGUUACAAUUCAAUCUUUCCACUGGGAUCUAAAAUCCUUUUUGUGCCAAUGCAAGCUACCCUAUUCUUCUUAUUGAAGCAUGGAGUUGAUUAAUAAUAAUGGAUUAGUUGUCUCUGACUGGGACGAAAAUUUAAUGCACAAACAAAAACCAUAAGGGUACGUUUGUUUUACCAGAUUAACCUUCCAGAUUACCCUAUUUAGCCCUUAUCCGCUUUAUAAACAUGGGACUAUACAUAAAUCAGAUUAACCCGGACUCGCACCACCUUAAAUUUCUUUAUUUAAACCCUUGCAUAAACACGGUCCAAUACAAGCCCUUUGCCACAGCCACACGUUGAUGCAAAGACUUUGCAAAUGGGCAGCUUCCAUGUUCAGCUGUGCUAGUAGACUAUUCAAAAUACAAUUACCAGGGGUUUGGUAUUUUGAACUUCAAAAAAAUAAAAUUUAUUUCCAAAGUUACACCAAACUUAGGGCAAGACUAAGUACCAGCCAAGCCAAUCCAAACCAAUCCCUACAAUUAGUCCAAGACAAGCCAAUCCUAUGUAUCAAACAUGCCUAAAGGUCUUCAACAUAUUACAGUAAAAAAGGAUGAGUGUGAUUUCUUUGUUUUCGAAACAGUUUGCACACACAGGAAACCCACUCAAACAUGCCUAGGUACUAUCUUGUGAAAGAGUGAUGCAAGACUACAAGACCCAUCCACAAUGUGACAAGCACCAAAGUUUCUAUAAGUUAAAUUCAAAAUCCACAAUAGACAUGUUAUCAUGCAUCAUUUUCCAACAAGGAAAAAGCUAAUGACUUAUAGACCAAAUUUCCCAAUAGUCAUACUGUUUCAACCUAUCUGUAAAUAAAAUUGGGAAUGUCGGUCGAUACAUUCAAUGGGAAAAAAAAACUCUUACUUCAAAUAUGCUAUAAAUCAUACACAGUUCUUGUGUCAAUUUGCCAUGGGGCAUUACUUCAAAUAUUAUUGCCUAUUCCGCAAUAAUAUUGAUUCAACUUGUUCAUAUGGCCUGCUUUCACCUAAGGCACAUUGUUGACUCCAUCAAUCACUAACUUGAAGAGAGUUUUUGUAUAACUAGAUAAUCACAAAUUCACAUGCUACUUAUAGCAUCGUAGAGUAGUGAUCCGUGGCGUCAAAAUUAAAACAACCAAAAAGAGCAGAUUAUACGAGAAAAAAAUCAUCUUUGUCGGGGUUCAAUCAUCAUCUCAAAGAAACAAAUAUAUUAUCACAACAUAACUCAAGUAAAAUAUUUUAGAAGCAAUCACUCAUCACUCCUGAUUUUCUUCGUACUCUGUUUCAAAUAUAAUCAAAUUGUCAACGUAUGCAACAACUCCUACCCUAUUACAUACAACACCCAAUGAGCAACUAUCAAAUUUAUCCCAACACAACAACAAUACAAUCUGUCAAACAAGUAUUCAGUUCAUAAAUUUCUCAAUAUUAACAACAAACAGAAAUACCCUCUUCCUAGUAUAUCUUAAAAAUAUCAUACAUCGAAAACCCACCAAAAAAAAUUUAAGAAAUCGGAAAAUAAUAAGAACGAUAUGAUCUCGAAAAUUACCUCAUAGAACCAGAUGGCCGUUAAAAUUCAAGCUUGAGUUCGUCUUUUUCCCCAGAGAGGAGGUGAAGAACAUAUGGGGCGGCUCGGAUCGCGACCACCCAAGCCCCGAACAUGGCGACAUGGCUCCGCAGCUGCUUCAGAGCCUCAGCCUUGUCUGGCUUCUGCAUAAACAUGGGAAACAUUUUGCUUUAUCUGAUCCGGCUUCUCUUUCCUGCAAAGUGAUAUGACAAACGCAACCUGACGCUUGAAACCUUAAAACCCUAAAACCCUAGUUGGUGCUCUGCGAUUUUGUAAUUUGGGGGUUUUUGACGGCUUCAAAAGGAUGAUAUACAGCUUUGCAGCUCUCGUGCGGCUGAGGGGUUUUUCGACUUUGCACGGGCGCGAUAUUUUCGGUUGGUGAUUUGAAAAGUAAGGGUAAUGUUGUAAAUACAAUAAAUUAUGUGGCUGUCUACUUGGAUCAUUGUUCAAAUAUUAAUAUUUUCUCAUUUAAUUUCUUAUUAAAAAUGAUGUUUUCGAGUUGGUGCGGGAUUAAAAUUGUGUGUUUUUUAUUAAAUUAAUGAAUUACUGGUCAUUAAAUGAAUUCAAUCCACUGGAACCAGUAAGGGUUGGUUGUGAAAGUAAGAAAAUAUAGAUGUUCGGGUGACAUUGGUUUUGGAUGACUGCGGCCGAAAAAGUGCGAAAUAGCCAAAAUUGUGCUUAGCCGUGGGCACCCUAGCAGGGCUGAGGGAUGGGUGCGGGCUGGAAGCAAGUAACUAGCCAAAAUUUGGCUUUGGGCCAAGAAAGGCAAUAACCCAGCAACAUCAGGCUGCAAGCUUGCAGGGAAAAGAAGCCAUGAAUGGGGCUUGGGCCAAGAAAAGAAAGCUCAUAUGGAGUUCAGUCGUCGUCAGCCAAAUUAAGGUCAUCUCCAACCGAUGGCUGACCAGAUGGUUCGUUUUAGCUAUUUGACCCUCCAAAAUUCUCCAAGAUAUUAAUAUUUUAAUGAACAGUACAUGACCAUAUUUGCUUCCUGAUGAGUAGAUUUUAUAUUAUAUAUUUUACCCUAAGCUUAGUAUAGUUUGGUUAAUAUAUUGGAAGAAUUUUGAUACUUUGAAUUGUAUUUUCAAUAUAGGACUUCCGACUUCCUCUAGAGCAAAAUAGGACCAAAUGGACGAAUUUUGGAGUGAUUCCAGUUGGAGGACGUUCGUGAGUCACUUAGCUUGAUCAUAUCAAAAUUUGGGAUUUUUCCAUCAAGCGGUUAUUUUCUGGCGAUAAAAGAAAGAAACAGUGCGCAGUGCUGGAAAAUGACAUUUUUGGGCUUAAAUGGCGUUUUUGGAGCCCAAGAUGACCUCGGAUGGGUUCGUGGCCUUCUAGAUAAGUGUUCAGAAUAUUCCAAACAUUAGAUCCAGCUAUAUUGGGCCAGUUUUGGAGCAGCUUAUGGGUCCAAAACGUGGGUGUUCAGAUUUUAGGCGAAUUUCACCAUUUAAUUUAGGGUUAUGUUUCCUAUUUUAUUUAAUUAUUAUUAUUAGUUUCCUAGUGGGAAGAAAGGACCUGUUUUUAGGGUUUGUGAGGGGGUUUAGCAAAUAUAUUGCUUGGCUGUCUACAGUUUUUAGACUACGCUUUAUUUUAUGCAAUUCUGGAGACAGAGAGAAGUGCUAGGGUUUUGGAGAUUUUCUACUUGAAGGUGUUUUUAAUCCUUUUCUUAAUAAUAUUUUCUAUGAUUUCAAUUAUGAAUAUGCGUAACUAAUUCCUUUUGCUAGGGCGAAGCCUUGAGCCUUAGCAUGAAUAUGUGAUUUUUAUUUAAUUGCUUAUGAUUGAUUGCAUGCAUACUUUGAAUUGUUAAUCACCGGGAUUAAAACUAUCUAAUUGUCUUAAUGCCUGGUCACCAUUAGGAUCUUUAGAAAUUUAAUUUGAUGCAAUUUUGGUCGGAAGGUUCCCUGAAAUUGACGCUGGCUUCUUAUGAUUAAUAAUUGUAAUUUCACUUAGGAUGAAUACCACGUCUUAAGGGUUGCAUGGUUUUUCAAAGGGUUUUCAUAAAGCAUAAUGAGUCUUUCAUGUUCAGAUUUGAUCCGAACGUCCGGACGGGUUGCAUGUUAGAUAUACGUUCUAUGUUGGAGGUUCCAAGUAGAAUAUGAAUUAGGAAAACCUAACCUUCAAAAGUGGCAUGUGUAGAUCAUAAGUAAUUGGUAAAAGUUCAUAGGAUUGCUAGGUGAUGGUGAAACCCUAGUGCUUCUUAAUUUGAUUUCUCCCAAAACUAUUUUCUUUUCCUUCUAGUUUUUAAUAUUGCAGAUUGUCUUAUUUUUAUUAAUUAAAUUCAUUUUUAAUUUAAGUAGUUUAUAAAAUCAGUCAUCUCAAUUUCUACUUUACAAUAAUUAAUUGGAAUUUGGUUUAUUUCGAAUUAUUUAAUAAUCCCUGUGGAGAAUGACCUUGCGAGAUCCGUUUAUAUUACAACAACCUUGUGAUUCUUGCAAGUAAAAUAGGAGAUUUAAGCCCGUUCACAUGAGUAGUAAAAAUCCUAUCACUUCCGUCUCCAACCGAGGGCCAUAAGGCCAGAGGGCUCGUUUUCGCCCUGUCACAAAAAAACCGUCUCUAACUGAGGGCCAAAGGGUUAUAGGGCCAAACAUAAUUUAUUAUUUAAAAACUACAACUUAAAUGUUGUCUAACUUUCAUGUUGUUAAAUGUUUUUUUUAUGUUGUAUAAUUUUUACGUAGGUUAAUGUUAUUUAAUGUUGUUUCAUAUUGUUUAAUAUUGUUUAAUGUUGUUCCAUGUUACUUAAUUUAAUUUAAUGUUGUAUAAUGGUUUAGGAAGUUAUAGGAAAAAAAAUAGAAUUAAAAAAAAUACGAAACAAAUUUUGUGAAAUAGAAAUUAUAGGAAAAAAAUAGAGUUUAAAAUAAAAUGAAACAAAUUUUGUGAAAUAGAAGUUAUAGGAAAAAAUGGAAUUUAAAAAAAAAUAUGAAACAAAUUUUGUAAAAUAAAAGUUAUAGGAAAAAAAUAGAAUUUAAAAAAAAAUGAAAAAUAGAAGUUAAGGAAAAAUUUUGUAAAUAAAAAAUAAUAAUAAAACUGUUAAAAAAAAUCAAAGCAUUCAUGUCGGUUAUAACCGACAAUAAUACAUGCAUAUUAUUUAGUAUAAAUGUAUUACUGUCAGUUAUAACCGACAAUAAUACAUGCAUAUUAAGUAAUAUGACACAUUUAAAAAAAAAUCUGGCCAGCCCUCUCUAAUUCCGUGGGGCCCUAUCAGAUUCCACAGCCCUGGCCUGGCCCUCGGUUGGAGAUGAUUUUCGGGUUAUUUUCGACCCUCUGGCCCUCUGGAUCCUUCGGUUGGAGAUGGCAUAAAGAGCUCUGGUUCUCACCGGAAACAAAGACACUCGCCAUUGCACGUGGCGUCAUGUCUCGAGGACCGAGCACAGGGCUCAAAGACAUCACCACCAUUCUCGAUUGCCUUUAAGGAGGUGGUUCCAUACGAGGGGAAAAUGUAAGAUAUUUCUAAAAUCAUAAGAACAACAACAGGACAUUAGGAUCACGGAUUUGAUAAACAAAAAUUACAAUAAAUCAAUUACAAUUUACUUAUCUUUGGAAUACAGAAGACAUGGCUCUUGUGGAUGACAAAUGAGUCUUCUACUUUCAACAAGCGAAAGUGUCCCAGUAAUAAUAGGGUUUGCUCAGAAUGGAACGUGUGUUUUGUGAAAGUAGGGACACCCUUAAUAUAGUAAUUAGGGUUCCCUUAAUUCCGCCUAUUAUAGUAAUUAGAGGAAUACACCAAAUCACCAUUUAUUCUUAAUGUUGCCCCACCAAGGCAUGUACAAUAUGUCUUACUUAAUUAAGGUUUCAAUUAGUCAACUAAAUAUAUCUUGGUUCCAUGAUUCUUGCUAACCAAUAUUGAAUCACGUUAAAAACCAAAUAUCUUGAAAAUAAAGUUAUUUAUCUUUCAAGUAAUUCGAUUCAUAAUAUUAAUAAUUGACAACUCAACAUGAAUCUUACAGAAAAUCCUAGUUCUCGCAUCUGUCAAGAACCGUCUGGAAUCUCUCAAAUCGGUCGUCCGAGAUGGCUUCGCCAUUACGGUACGAUUGCGAGUUGACGGGGGAUGCUGGAGCUCGGUUUCAGGCAGGCUGGUGUGUGGCAGGCAGCCAAGCCUGAAGGUAGGGACGGACGACGCAAUUAUUCGCUAAUGUUGGACAAUGGCUCGGCUUGGCGUGGCUUCAGGCCGUGGCUCAGCUGCAAUUUUUUCUUCUUCUUUUUUUGUCGGUUAGGGUUUUCAAAACCCUACUUCUUGCUUCUAUUAUCAUAGUGUAGCAUAAAUUUUUGUGAAUUGCUAAAUUGGUUAGGAUAUUUAUGAGUAUAUGCGAGUAACGAAUUAAGAUUUUUCAACAGAACGAGUUUUAUUUGGAGAUAUUUUUCUUGUCACGUAAUAUCUUAUUUUUCAUAUUACAACACGAUUAAAAUCAGUGUUACCAGCAAAAUAUCCCGUUUACUUGGUCUUGUUCAGAAAUUAAAAUGAGGAGGAUUAUAAAAUAUUAAACAAACAUAGUCCAGAUGGAAAAUAAAGUGGUGCAUUCCGCAGAUGAAAAUAACAGCUGGACGCGGUCUUAAAUUCAGCGACGCUGAUGUGUCGUAGGCAGCGAUCACCCCGAAACGAAUCGAGUAAGACCAAACCGACUACACCAGUCAACCAAAAGCAUUAACCCCUCUUCCCUCCUCUUUCCCCCACUCUCUCUCCCUCUCUCUCUUCACUCUUCAAAACACCCACCGCCGCCAAUGAUUCCUCCUCCACCUCCUCCGCCACUGUAUUAAUACUCAUAAAAAUGGUCGUUGCAUCCCCAUCUCCUGCACCCGCCCCCACUCUUUCCACCCUCUUCAUCACCACCUCACUCCAUGCAUCAUCCCCGCCGUCCAAGUACCCCAUCGACUUCUCCCCGCCCUUAAUCGCCAUGGUCGUGGUCGUCGCCACCGCCUUCCUUAUUGUCACUUACUCCCGCCUCAUCUCCCGCCACGUCAUCCCGCCAAUCCUCCGCCUCCAACGACGCUGGCACCACCGCCGUCGCCGCUCCUACCUCCCAUCAUCCAUCGGUGACAUCGACUCCCCGCCCUACGACUCGUCGCUCGACCCCGCCGACAUCGGCUUCCACGUGUUCUCCCCCUACGGCCUCGACGAGUCGGUGAUCAAAACAAUCCCCCUCUCUCUAUACACAUCAAAACAAUCCCUCCUCAGCCGUGACUGCGCCGUUUGCCUGAUCGACUUCCAAAACGACGACUACGUUCGAACGCUGCCGGUCUGCUCGCACGUGUUCCACGUUGACUGCAUCGACAUGUGGCUGCGAUCUCACGCCAACUGUCCUCUCUGCCGGGCCGGAAUAUUCCGUCCGGAAUCUCCAUUCGUUCCGUUGAUGGCCGCAAGGAUCAGGCCCAGCCUCGACGACACUGUUUUCCGGAGCAUCGCGCUCGAGCCUCUUGCCGAAGCUACGGCGCCGUGUGAUUCCGAUUUUUUAGUCACCGAGAUCGAGAGGUGCGCGGAGGAGCGAUCGCCGAGGAGGAGCUCCAACUACUGGGAGGAUUACCGGAUCAACGGCGGAGAUUUUGUUUUAAAGAGGUCGCACUCGUUCGGAUUCGAGCGGAGCUCGGCGUCGGCGGAGAGGAUGAUGGUGACGGAGCCUGCGACGGCAUCACCGUGGCGGUACCGGAGAGGAAGCUUCUGGAGCAAGCGGCCGUCGCCGUUCGGGUCGUUGACGAAGCCUCGAGUCUUCUCCUUCAGAUCAUCCUACAGAGGCGGCGUCAGCAUGAAAUCGCCGUUCUUCCGCCGAAAAGGCUUCUUCCCGCUGUCAGAGUCGAGCGCGAGAUUCUCCGGCGCCGGAACCGGUGGAUAUUCGCGGCGUAGCAAGUCGAUGACAAGUCCGAUGUUCGGAAGAUCAUCGGGGUUAUCGGCUUUCUCAUCGAGCCGGCUAAGGUGCGGAGAUCCGGAGGCGCUGUUGUCGCCGGAGAGGUUUAACAGGAGAUAGGAACGAAGGAAGCGAGGUUAAAUUCCGGAUCGACACGUGGAGGGUGGUGAUGGAGCGAGGGCGGGGUGGAUCGGACGGUGGGAGAUGGGUGGAGGCAAAGGGGGGAGGAGAGUUAAUGAGGGCUGGUGCGGUCAUUAACUAGGGGGGGGCUGCUGAGACGGCAUUUAAUGCCCAGAAUUGACGAGAGAGAGGAAGAGCAAGAAAAAACACACAAAUCAAAACUGGGGUUUUAAUUUUAUGGAGAGAGAGAAGAGAGAGGAUCAUAAAUGUGGAGAAAUUUAAUGGGUUUUGGCGCCAUUUAUUUAUUUAGGGGGAAAGAUUGGGUUAGCCUUUAAAUAUAGGGCUGCUUAUGUAGAGCAAACCGACCGACAACCAUACAAUUUAGAGCAUGUGGGAAGGAGUUGACAAAUCACUUGUGCAUGUGAACUAUACAACAGGGGUAGGCGUAGCUAGGGUUAUCCAGUUACGGCUUAGGGUUUAGAGUUUAAGGUUUAGGGAGAAACUUGUCUGUCUUGGUUUUACCAUCACAAAAUUUUGAAGAGAUGGAAAGUGCGGAGAGGGGGAGGAUGUGAAGUGCAAUGCGGGUGGAGUUGAGGCUUUGAGUGCUUGUCCUUGUCAUUCUUUUUAUCUUCCUUGACUUUGGAAGACAUGGAUGUGUGGUCGUUGUUGCAUUGCGGUAUUGCGCAUUGGGCAAAGUCAAAGCUAAGUGGGUCAAAUUGGAAUUUGGGUGGUUUCCAAUUACUUGGGAGGCAUGCUUAGGGUUUUGAGAAGGGAAAAGAAUGUUACAUGUCAUUUUUGGUGUUUUACUUACGUGUCUUGUGUAAUAUUAUUGUAGCAUUUGUCAGAUGAAUUUAUGUUACCUUUGUUUUGCUCUUAUUGAAAGAGAAGUAAUUCCAUUUUGAUGCAUGGAUUCGAUUAUAUUGCGUAUGGUAAACAUAUUUACUUGGAAUGACAUAAGUUAUUAAUCCGAGAAAUCAACUAAAUCAGUCCAAUUAUGAGCUUUAAGUAUUAUAGGAUUAUGGAUUAUAACGUGGAUCUCGUAUGUUUUUCGUUUUUGUAUGUAUAUCAUACUCUCAUAUGUCAAUCGGUGCACGAUAAGUUAUGAAUCAGAAUAAUUUCCGAAUAUUAGGGCUCCAUUACUAGUUCUUAAGGUUGAAUUAUUGUUUGGUUGUGCCUGCUUCCUUAUGAUUUCUGAUGAAUAUCAGUUUCCUGUUGUAAAAAUUAUGAGAAUAAUUGAAUGCCUACAUGGGAAUAGCAGUGAAUAGUAGGAAAUAGUUUGUUGUGUUAUGUUUUUUCAAAAGUGGUUUAUCACGGAUGAUUGUUUGAUUUGUUGCGGGUGAUUUUCAUUCUCUGUAAACCUACAAAUGUGGCUCUAUAAAUAGAACACUCCGCGGGUGAUCUAGACACAACAACUAAAAGAAAGAAAAUAACUAAAAGCAAUAAUAUCAGUAUCCCUCCAUUUCUCUUUUUAUCUGCAAUCCUUUUAUGUUAUAGUUACGAAACAAAACAGUAUGAUAUUUUACACCCGCUUCGCUUAUGUCCUUAACAAAGGUUAUCUCUCAAAUUUUUGCCUAUUUAUAACAUUUCCAUAUUUGUCUUAUUUUUCAUUUCCUUUUGUGUAACCUGGCUGCCUUUUGGUGUUUGGUAGUUUUGUUGGUUAACUAGUUCUCUAGUUGCCCUUGUAGCCUUGUCCUAAAUUGGCCUACUUUUUGUUUACAACUACAAGCAUCUGUUUUUUAAUCAGUUAACAGUUAUUUGCUGUGAUAUAUGGGAUAUUUGGAAGAGCCAAAAAAGAACCCUUAUGCAAGUAACAAGAUCAAUUUUGUGUGUGGAAUUCUAUAAAAGGAAUUCUUUGAGGACUUGUAUGACACGGCUGCACAAGUACACUAUUACAAUAAUUUUAUGUGUCAAUAAUAUAAGUAAAUGUGUUAUUUUUUUUCUUUCUAUAUAUCUUUGUAUUAUUGACAUUGAACAGUAAUUAAUGAUGUACUCAUGUCAUACAAGUGACUCUCGGAUUUCUUCAGCCUUGCCGUGACUAGCAAAAUGCUUAAUACAGACUGAGUGAAUAAAUGCGGAAAGCCCGAUUUAACUUAAGCAACCAAAAUGGGCUGCUGACAAAGGGUAUAAACAAUGCCCAACCAGGCCAUUUUGGGCUUGGAUGAAAUUAUAGUGGUGGGCCAAGUCGAAGUUAAAAACUCAUUGGUGUGGGGGUUUUUUUUUGGGCUUAAUAUUAUUCAGUGACGAAGAUUAUAAAAGUCAUUUAGUUAUUUAAUAUUAUAGUGUAGUGAUAUUUCUCUUUAUUUGUAAGUAAGAGGUCUUAGAUUCGAUUCUCGCCAAAGGUGAAUUUGAACCACAUUAUUGUUAGUCUAUUGUGAGGCUGAGCCCACCCCCUCUGCUUAGUGUAAAUAAUAUCGUUUGUUCAAAAAAAUAUUGAGAAAGAAUGCAUAACUCUGUAAUUUAAGCUUAAUCUACUCUGACUUAAGUCAAGAUUAUUUCAAUGGGAUAUUGUGUACUGGUUGUCUUAGACAUUUUGAAUACCGUAUGCGAACUUUAUAAAGGGACCUUCCUUAAGAUGAGGAAACAUUUUAAACUAUUUUUUCUUCAAAUAUCCUAGACUUUUUUAAACUCUUUUUUCCAAACUCUUAAACUGCAUUUUGACUCAUGCAACUUUGGUUGCAAUUAUAGGCAAAUUCAGGUUGUAGCUCUCCUUGUUUAAUUAAAAAACAAAGGGAAAUGGAGGCUUUCAAUUUGUCAACACGUUGGAUAUCAGAAGUUGAUCAACAAACAAACGUCCAAAGAGGUCACAAAUAUUGUUGGGAUUUCAGCAUCCAAUACAAGUAGAUAGCUUGCUCCAACCAUUUUAGGCCACUGUUUAGGCUUAUGCUACCAAAAAUCCACCUUUACUUUUUGAGGUCAUACCCAACCUCACCUGCACUGCAUCUGCUUGUCUGGGUUGUUAGAAAAUGCAGUCACCAAAUUAUUCAUUUUUCCAAGAAACAAGAGAGAAAAUCUGAUACAGUCCUUUUAGGGCUGUAGAGAAUUGGAAAAGGUAGAACAAAAUGCAAGUUCGGAAAAAUGCAAGUUCGGAAUAAAGAGAAGCUUGACAGCCAACUCGAUAGUAAUAAUUUCAUUCAAAUCAGACUUGUCCUCCAACAUCCCAAGCACGAGUUAUUUAUACAAUAAAAGGAACAUAAACUAGUAUAUGAAAUAAAUAGAGAAACCCAAUAGACAUAGUAGUUUUAACAUUAUUAGCCUUCUUAAUCUUGGAAUCUGAUGGGUUUUGGACGUUCCUUGGCAAUAGAAUACUCAUUAGAUGAUGCCCCUUUUGACUUUAAUUCUAUGUGUGACUCCUCAGAUGAUCCUUCAUCAAAAUCUGCAAGGAAGAGUUUGUCACGCGUGAUAAAUGGAGAAAAGGAUAAGACAUAGUAAGGUCGAAUUAAGUAAUGGGUCUGGCUACAGUAGUAUGUAAGAUUUAAACGUUGUAAAGAUCCAUUAUAUCCUCUAUAUCAAUUUUAACGUGAAUUUUCUAAAUCACUAGUGGUUCGUACUAUGAAUGCAUCACCUGUAAUUUGAAAAAAAGUUGAGGUUCCAUCGUAAAACUAAUUGACAAUAUAGAAAGUAGUUCAACUUCUUAUAAGCUCAUGCAAUGUCCCUUCUCCCAUCGGGAUUUAUUCUCAACAUAAUGAGAAUUCCUUUCCCCUUCUCCUUUUGGGAAUUAUUUCUAACAAGUUUAAAGAAAUGAGCACAUUAUUCUAACCAACUAAUUUAAUAUUCGUUAAGCUGCAUUUUUCUUCUGUCUUUCUUUUCGAGCAAGAAAAUGCAGUCAUGAAACUAUUGACUUCCAAGAAAUAAAAUCUGCAAGAGGUCCUCUCUCAUGAGUCACGACGAAUGAGAUCAGGAUAAGAUAAGGUAAAGAGGUAAACCUAGACUUCUAGUCAGAUUAGUAAUAAUAACAAAAAGGAAUGCUAAUAAGAUCUGAUGACUGGCAUGUUCUCUAAUUAAAAAUUCUUUUGUCUAAUUAAAUUUCAUUAGAAUUUCGAUUGAGAGAGGGAUUGCUGAGUCCCAAGUGAUCAUGUAAAACUAGCAAGGGAUGGAUUACAAAAUGUUUAAUAGGAAGAAUUAGAAAUGUACCAUAUGCACACCUUUUAACUGUUGAAAUACCUCACAUCCAUUGUAUCUUUGAAAAAAGAAGUGUUUAAAUAUCUUAACCUUGCUCCAACUAAUACUGAUGCCUUUUGUGAUAAAACUUCACACCUAAUGACUUGUGUAUGUGGUAAUUACAAAGUUGGGGGAUAAUAUCGGUGUUGUUGGAAGUGAGCAUUUGGUCCAUCUAUUUGAUAAUUCAACAUGAUAUCAGAGCCAGAGAGCGGGUCUGUACUGUAUUGUUACGUGAUGGGUGUGUCCUCCUGGCCCUGCGUGUAGGGUGAGUCCCCUUGGCUCCACAUGGUUGUCAAUGUGUGGAUCUCCCAUGUGUGACCCAGUAAUUGGGUCCCUCGUGAUGGGCAUGUUGAAAUAUCUCAUAUCAACCGUAUCUCUGAGAAAGAAGAGUUUAAAUAUCUUAACCCCGCUCCAACUAGUAUCAAGGCAUUUUGUGAUAAAACUUCACACCUAACACCUGAUGUGAUAAAACCCCGCACAUGACACCUGACAAAUUGUACAGGUGAUAAUUACAAAGUUAAGGAUAAUAUAUGUGUUAUGGGAAGUGGACUUUUGAUCAAUCUCACUAAUAAUUCAACAUUAAUUAAGUAGCUAUAUAAGUAAAUCGGUCUCACAUAUCUUUCUAAUGCUCAUAUGAUUUAUUUAUAAUCUCUUUUAUCUAAUAUUUUGUCGCCACUUGACCCUGAGACUUGAAAAUUCCUAACAUAGCCUUAAGAGAGUCUCUUACAAUAAACGGAGGAUGUAUGCCAUCUUUAAGUGUAAGAGAGUGAACACAUUACUCUAACUAGCUGAUUUAAUCUUAAAAAACUCUAAAACACUAGCUAAAAAAAAUCUUCUUGAAGUGAAAAAUAAUUUACUUUGGCAAGGUUGAUUAGAUUAAAAUUCUUUAAGGUGUCCUAACUUAUUUUUCAUUUAUGUGACUGAACCAUACAAUUAUGAUUAGAUUACACUAGUCUUUAAGUAUCCGCGUGAAUGCGUUAAUUGCUUCAAUAAUUUUUUUUUUUAUGACAACAAAAAUUCAAAUAUUUGAAGUAAAUGAAUAAUAUUCGAACAUGCUAGAAGAAACCCCUUAUAAACCAAUCAAAGCAACUGAAUCCACAUAAUAAAAUCAGUCUUUCAAUUUCCAUCUACAUUCUAUUGAAUUUACAUUAAGAAUAGAGAAAAUAAUAUUUAAUAGAUAACUGAUUGAAUUAAAUUAUUGUUAGCCCAGUGUGAGGCUAAGCCCACCUCUUCCCCUUUAGUGUAGAAAACAUCGUUUGUCAACAACAAAAAAACAUGAUCAUUUGACAACAAAUCGAAUCAUAUUAAUAUGCGCGUGCGAAAGACUUUUUUUAUUUUAUUUUUAUAAUUGGCACUACGUGCCUCUUAAGUGUUUAAAAAUAGAGAAAACAAUAUAACUAAUUGAAUCGCAUUAUUGUGCACGUGUGAAAGACCUUUUUUUAUCACUGGCGGUACACGGCUCUUUAGAUGUUUUGAAUGUGUUUAAAAAUAGAGAAAAUAAUAUUUAAUAAACAACUUAUUGAAUCACAUUAUUGCUAACCUAAUGUGAGGCUAAGCCCAUCCACUCCUUCUUAUUGUAGAUAAUAUCGUUUGUUUGAAAAGAAAAAAAUAAUCAUUUGACAACUAAUCGAAUUACAUUAUUAUGCAAGUGCGAAAGAUUUUUUUUUAUAACUAGCACUACGCGCCUCUUUAGAUGUUUUGAAUGUGUUUGAAAAUAGAGAAAAAAAUAUUUAAUAAACAACUGAUUGAAUCACAUUAUUGCUAACCCAAUGUGAGGCUAAGCCCACCCCCUCAUCCUUAGUGUAGAUAAUAUCGUUUGUUCGAAAAAAAAAUCAUUUGACAACUAAUUGAAUCACAUUAUUAGGUGUGUGUGAAAAACAUUUUUUAUAACUGGCACUACGAACCUUUUAAGAUGUUUUGAACGUGUUUAAAAAUAGAAAAAAAUGAUAUUAAUAAACAACUGAUUGAAUCAUAAUAUUACUAAACUAUUGUGAGGCUAAGCCCACCCCAUCUCCCUUAGUGUAGAUAAUAUCAUUUGUUCGAAAGAAAAAAAAUCAUUUGACAACUAAUUGAAUCACAUCAUUAUGGACGCGCAAAAAACCUUUUUUAUAAUGGGUACUACGUGCCUCUUAAGAUGUUUUGAACAUGUUUAAAAAUAGAGAAAAUUAUAUUUAAUAAAUAACUGAUUGAAUCAUAUUAUUGAUAGCCUAUUGUAAGAUACUAAUUAAAAAAAAAAACUGUAUAAAAAAAAGCUGUAAAAAAAAAUUAAUUAUUAGAAAACGUUGUUUAUAUAAUAAAAAUAUCCAUGCAUUAUUUUGAAUUGCUUUCAAACUUUUUUUGUUUGGAAGACAUUUUUUUCCACUUAUUUUUAAUGAAGGCUGUGACUCUAAAAAAACACUGUUCACAGCAGUGUUAGGCUUUUUAUAUAGAGAUUUGACUUAUGUGAGAUUGUUUAAUUAAUUGUUUCAAAAAAUUGGAGAAUCCUAUUUUGUCCAUGUGGAAAGAAACCCAUCUCGUCAACAGACUUCUUCUCUACUUUAUCGAAGGAGGUCAUCAGUGAAUGUUUUGGCAACCAAUAAAAGAUACCAAAUUGGUAUUACCAAUCUCAUCAAAAUGUACUUCGAAAGGGAUCCUCUCCGGGUUAUUUUCACUUAAUUCUUUUCAUCAAAUAAUUUUGAUCCUUAAAAUUUAAUUCAACAGCUAAAAAUACGGGCCAACUUUAAAAGUUAUAGUAACUUUAACAGUUUGAUCAAAUUAAGGACCCAGAUUGUUUGAUGGAGAUGAUUAGGUGGAAGGGAUCUGGAGAUAUCCCUUUCCAAUGUACUUGACAACAUUUUUGAUAUCAUAAUAUAUUUACACUAGAGAGCAAAUGAAUAAUUGGAUCAAACACGUCAUUUACAAAAUUUAAAGUUGAAAUUUUUCAUUUACAAGUAAAGAAAAUUACUAUUAUACCAGAAGACUAAUUGGCAAAGAAAUGACUCCUAAAACAUGAGAAAUGAUAAGGACACACUCCUUUAAGCUUCUCAAAUACCCUUAUAAACAUUUUAGGUCGAACAUGAUCAACCACCAACAACACCAAUAGUGCCCCCAACUUAACCACUUAUUACUAGGUGGAGAUUUUAUCACAGCAUGCCUCUUUGAUAUUAGAAAUGAACCUUAGUUGUGUAUUACUUAGAUUUUCCAUGCAAGACUAUUCUCCAAUACAUAUGUGUUUAACCAUGUCUAUUAAUUCUGUUUAAUUUAUUUAAUCUGAUAGCUCAAAAAUAAAGAGUAAUAUGUGAGAAGUUGAAGUAGAGAUACUAAAAUUAUUUAUUAGUCCCUUAUUUUGCAUCACAAAAACAAGGAUUAAGGUUUAAUAAGAUAAUAAAAAGCAAUUAGAUUAAAGAAACACUACACAGAGCAAGGACUUCACCAAACUCCAUCUACCAUUAUAAAUGCAAUGCCAGUUAUUCCUCACCAAUCUACAAGACAUGCAUCCAUACAGCUACCUUGAAGACCCUCUCUCAUAAACACCGCUAUAAAUUGGUUAAAAUUUAUUGCAUUCAGCUGACUUAAUCUCCCCCACCGCCACCUCUCCACCUCCAUUUCUGCUUCUGGUUAUUAGUUACCAGUCACAUUCACCAGAAGCUAGCCCUUCCACCUUCCAUUAUAUUUGUUUCAGAAUCUCAGUUCUUUACUUGUGCCUGAAAUCUCAGUUGGGUAAAAGGGUCCAUGGAUUUCAUAGUGAAGGUUGAGGAACCGAGGCCAGCUGCCAACGGGAGGCCGUCAGCGGGGCCGGCGUAUCGGAGCAUUUACGCUAAGGAUGGUCUCAUGGAGUUGCCGGAGGGGUUGGAGUCUCCUUGGCAGUUUUUGAGGUACAUUAUCAUCCCAUUUUGGUACUUGUUUUUAUAUUUUUUAUUUUUUUUCAUGUCUUGUUAAAAUUUGAUGUGCGUUAUGGAUCAGAAUAAUGCACUUUAAAUUGAGUGUCACAUUUUUCAGUUGAGGGCAGUUGAAUUGAGCUUGUUGUUUGUUUGGAUCCUCGGAAAAUGGACAGAUAAAUUUCUCAGGAAAAUGUAAAUAUUUAUUCCUCAUAGCACUCACUCAUCAGAUCGAAAUCAAAUUAAUAGCAGAAAAGAAAACAAAAAUGGCCCAUGCAGGUCUCGAACCUGCGACCUUCGCGUUAUUAGCACGACGCUCUAACCAACUGAGCUAAUAGGCCAGUUGAUGAUUCAGCUAGUAUACUUAAUAAUAAUUCUAUGUUUUAAUCAUCAUAUAAAAUCUGAUUCGAAUUUCUGCGUGAAUUCAUGGCUGAAACUCUGGUGUUACUUGCAGUGACUCUGCUAAGAAAUAUCCGAGCAACCCAAUGCUUGGGAGGCGGCAGGUCACCGAUACAAAGGUAAAGCUUCCAUUUGAGCAAAAAUAGCACCAACCCAUUGAAACCCAUGAGCUAAUUUUUUUUUCCCAAUUAAGAUUAUCAAAACCCAAUUUUUAAUAAAUUUGUUUAUUGGAAAUGAUAGGUGGGUCCGUAUGUGUGGCUUACGUAUCAAGAGGUUUAUGACGCUGCCAUUCGAAUGGGUUCAGCCAUCAGAAGCCGCGGUGUCAAUCCUGUAAGUCACAUGCAAAUUAAGUAUACAUGCAGUAGCGCUCAAACGCUAACUAGUUAGUAAGUUAAUAGGGCACUAACCUGACCGUGAAUAAAUUAAUGUGCUCCUGUGUCAUGGUUUUAUAUGUUAUCCAGAGUUUUGAUGUGAUCUAUGCUAUGUAGAACUAAUACUAUUGUAGUUGAGAGUUGAUGUAAUAAUGGUACUGAAAAUAGUUCUAUAAAAAAAGGAAGCAAACUACGAUUAGUCUCAUGAUGUUUUUGUAUCUUUUACAUGUUUACAGGGAGAUCGUUGCGGUAUAUAUGGAUCAAACUGCCCCCAGUGGCUUACUGCAAUGGAGGUGAUGCUGUGUUUCGCGUUUUCAUGAUUGAAUUUCCGUGUUUAUGCAUUCCAUUCCGCGAAUGCAUGCUAAUAUUGACAUUAAAUUCUGUGACUAUGGUUGAAUGACUGUGAUGUUGGGGACUGAAUGCGACUUUCUGGCGUAAUGCUUAUUUGUUUUGUUGAUGUUUUACAGGCCUGUAAUAGCCAAGCCAUAACAUACGUUCCACUCUAUGACACCCUCGGUAUGUUUUUCCUUCUCCUUUGUCAAUAGAACUCGGUGUGUAUACCACCAUGACUUUCAGAAUACCUUUAUAUUUUCUUCGUUAAUAUCAUUUCCACGGGCAAUUAGACCUUUGAUGAUGGUGGUUGAGUUUGAUUAAAUAUAGCUGAUUAGCUUUUCAUGGUUGUUCGUGUUACAGGUGCUAAUGCGGUUGAGUUCAUCAUCAAUCAUGCUGAAGUUUCAAUAGCUUUUGUUCAAGAAAACAAACUCCCUGCUGUAAGUUUGCUUUCUAUCCAUUUCCUUAAGUACAAAUGCACAAGACUAUUGAUGUCAUAUAGUUUGGUACUAAAAGUAUCCUAAUCCAACUCCUUGGUACCAAAACCUCAGAUAAAUACGAAGACCAUCUUACCUUUGGAUAUUUCUACCCUAAAUAGUUUGACGACUAUCUUACUUAAUUUCCCAAUACAUAUGUGGUAUUUUAGUUUUGAAUUUCAGUUUUUUUCUAAUAUGUUCUGAUGUCCUGCUCAUAUGGUAAUGCUUUGCGCAGGUUCUGUCAUGCCUUCCAAAUUGUUCUACCAAUUUAAAAAGUCAGUCAUCUUCAAUUCCCUGAAGAUUUGGAAUUUGAGGUGCAAUUGCUGCAGAUUGUAACUCAGUUAUGCAUUUUCUUUUUACAGCAAUUGUCAGCUUUGCAAAUGUUUCUAGCGCUCAAAAGGAGGAAGCUGAAGGACUGGGGGUAUCUUGUUUUUCUUGGGAGGAAUUCUCUCAGUUGGUACGUUGUUUAUGUUGUCUUUCUUAUAUAAAUUCCCUUCGUUGGUAAAGGAUUCGCCAACUUAUUUUUCAAUAAUGUAAAAUGACCUCUCCAGACCUUUUCUCAGGGAAAUGCAGAUUGUGAACUACCUCCGAAACGGAGGACUGACAUUUGCACAAUCAUGUAUACAAGCGGAACAACUGGAGAACCAAAAGGUGUACGUAUUAGUAACGGAGCAAUUAUGUCAGAAGUAUUGUCUGUGGAGCAACUACUAUUUCUAACAGAUAGAGUGGUAAACAACUGAACACACUAUUUCCUAGCCUUUUUACGAUAUAUAUUGCUGGAGUCCAAAUUAGUGUUUUUUCUGCCUCUCAAAGUUAAAUUAGAAAAAAGGGAGGAUAGCUCCCGGCACUUGGCAUGCUUAGUUUGAGUGUGAUUUGGUGACGGGCAUUUUGAGUAGUUAUAUCGUAGCCCUUAAUUAUGAUAAAUUAGUACCUUCAUGUAGUUUAAAUGGACAUCAGAACAAGACCCUACUGAAAAGUCGAUGUUGUUGUGGUUGGUCUUUCCAAACAACUAUUUAAACUAUAAGUAGUAAUACCUUGCUAAGUAAGUCAUCUCGUAGUUGAGCCUAGACCGCUUCCCCACCCAUCCCAAUGCCACUUGAGCUAGAGCUCAUAAAAAAGUCAUCCGCUCAUUCAAGGGUGCUCAUUUGCAGAAAAUUUUCUUUCCGAAGUUCUGUUACUGCGAUAUGAGAAAUUAUUUCCUUUUGCUAAUCAUGGUGCAUUAAAACUACAAUACUGAUCUCAUGAAAUCAAUUCUAAUACAGUGUACGGAAGAAGAUUCAUAUUUUUCCUUUCUUCCAUUGGCCCAUAUAUAUGAUCAAAUAAUGGAGAGCUAUUGCAUCUACAAAGGAUCCUCUGUAGGUUUCUGGCGAGGAGUAAGUAUAUAAGAUUCAUAUAUCUUUCAAAGUUAUCUCUUUUCUUAAAUUUUUGUAACUUGUUUCUGAUGUGAUUUCUUUCUUGAACUUGGGCAGGAUGUCAGAUUUCUACUCGAGGACCUUCAGGAACUAAUGCCUACUAUGUUUUGUGGGGUACCUAGAGUGUAUGAUCGCAUAUACUCUGGUAAAAUAUACAUCAUACCAAUCCUGAUAAAUUACUGUCUUUGAUUUUUUUUUAAUUGUAAAUAGUUGGCUUAAACUUUGUGCUCGCAGGUAUUGUCAACAAAGUUUCAUCUGGGGGUGUAUUGAAGAAGACAUUAUUCCAAUAUGCUUAUAACUAGUAUGAAUCCCGAAAAGCUCCCCUUUUUGUUUGCAUUUGCAUUCCUGCAAUAAAACUAAUGAAAGAUUUAAUUGACAGCAAGUUGGCGAAUCUGGAAAAGGGUCUCCCACAAGAAAAAGCAGCACCCCUCUUGGACAAACUUGUCUUCGAUAAGGUUUGUUGUUGCAUCCUUCGCCGUUCAAUUAUUGAAUAGCUGUUUUACACUCUAACAAAAUGUUACUUGUGGUAGAUAAAACAAGCGUUAGGGGGACGAGUUCGUAUAUUGUUGUCUGGUGCUGCCCCUUUGCCUAGGCAUGUGGAGGAAUUUUUGAGGGUCACCAGCUGCAGCACUUUAUCACAAGGAUAUGGUAUGGUUGAAGCAUCUCUGCUUUAUGUCAUCUAGGAAUGAUAUAGAGAUCGUAGGAAUGGUGCUGCUAGAAUUUACCUAAUUGACUAAUCGACGUAGGUUUUGUAGUGACCUUAUUUUUUAGUGCAAUGGAAAGAACAAAACAUUGACCUAAAAUGAAUUCAAUGUCUUCUUUGAAGAAGCUGAGAGUUCAGUGACGCAAGCUUCUACUCAUCCGCAGUAGUUUUAUAAAGUUCCCUUCAUAAUGAAAAAGAACCUUCCAUCAACUUGCUAAACUCUUUUACAUGUAGGCCUUACUGAAAGCUGUGGUGGUAGCUUCACGUCCAUUGGCAAUGUUUUUCCUAUGAUUGGAACUGUCGGUGUCCCUAUCACAACUAUUGAAGCAAGGCUUGAGUCAGUGCCAGAAAUGGGAUACGAUGCACUUUCCAGUGUGCCCCGUGGAGAGAUUUGCCUGAGAGGAACAACCUUGUUUUCUGGUUACCAUAAGCGAGAAGAUCUAACAGAGGAAGUCCUUGUUGAUGGGUGGUUUCAUACAGGUAAACUUUAAACAGUCAGCCAUAAAGUUGUCGCUUGAUGCCCAAUGUUUUGUCUUCUUGUGAAGAUGUCACCACUGGACAUCUUAGAAAAUUUUGUUGAUGCUUAAUUGUUGCGUUGAAAUGUGAUGGUGACUUUGAUUUCAUUGCAGGUGACAUUGGAGAAUGGCAGGCAGAUGGAGCAAUGAAAAUCAUAGAUAGGAAAAAGAAUAUAUUUAAACUAUCGCAAGGUGAAUAUGUUGCGGUAGAAAACAUUGAAAGCAAAUACUUGCAAUGCCCUCUUAUCACAUCGGUAUGUUGCUAGUUGCUAGACCGGGCACAAGUUAAUCAUUCCUAUACGUUAGAGCCCACCUCUAUUUGCCUCCAUAUAUGAGUUUUUAUUUGUUGGUCUUUGUAAUUUGUGGAAGUUCCCUCUGGUUUGUGUUUUGAUUUUUCUAAAGUUGUGGAUUUUCCUCUGGUUUGCAGAUUUGGGUAUAUGGGAACAGCUUUGAGUCGUUUCUUGUUGCUGUGGUGGUCCCUGACCCUAAGGCGUUGGAGGAUUGGGCAGCAGAGCAUCACUUGACCGAUGAUUUCAAAUCAUUAUGUCAAAACCCGAAGGCAAGCAAGUACAUUUUGGAUGAGCUCAAUAGUACUGGUCAGAAACAGCAAGUAUGUUGAUAAUAUUUCACCCAAUUCCCUGUUUCAAUUUCCAUGGCGUAUAUGUCAAUGUCUACUCAUCUAACUUGGAACACAUUCCCGCAGCUCCGAGGUUUUGAGCUGUUAAAAGCGGUUCACUUGGAACCGAAGCCCUUUGACAUGGAGAGGGAUCUCAUUACUCCAACAUUCAAACUGAAGAGACCACAGCUGCUUAAAUAUUACAAGGUAUGCCUCCUGGUGUCGUUUUCUAUCUACUGCCUUGUCCAACAAGUCAUGACUGGUGGCACCUAGAAGUACUUUUUAAGGGCCAACCAAUUUUCCAAACACAACCCCCGAUAUUUCUCUGUCGAGCUAAUGUUAAUUUAUAUUUUGUCGGAAUAUCAUCUGCAGGACCGUAUUGAUACACUGUACAGCGAAGGAAAAGGAGCAAGGGUAUGAGUCUGUUGAAAGCUGUAAGCUAUCGGAUCAAACGUUUUUACCACAAUUUCCCAAAGAUAUUAUUUCUGAUAUUUGAGGAACUAUGUAAGAAAAUAGUGGGUAUCUGCUACCCACAAAGACACUGGAUGGGCGCGAUCCCGUCAAGUUAGUUUGUGUGUAAAUAAAGAUAACGUAAAAGCUCUUAUUCCCGAUAAUUUCACAUAUCUGCUACCCAGAGUGUAUAUUUGUUUUAUUUCCUUCCAAGUAAGAAUGCAUGAUUUAGAGAAAGCAAUUAUCCUUCUUAGCCGAGGCUACUAGCGCAGGCUUGUAACCAAGCAAAACAUUAAAGUGAUUGAUUGAUUGCUUAAAGUCUAGCGUGGUUAGGUGAGGUUGAAUAAAGCAAUUCCUCUCUGAUUUGAAGCCUCAAAUGCUUGAGUCUACAUUGCUAGCAUACAAGUAAGCGAUGUUAUGCAUUAAUUUGUGUUCCCAACCCAACCCAAUGUUCUCUAUUCUUUUGGUUCAAUUCGCAUUGGAGGUGUGGUUCUAAUGCUUAUGUACUGUAUCCCACACCAAAACAGACUCGGACAAAAGGAUGACCCGGGAACUAACGCUUUGCGAAAGGCCGUCCAUACCGAGCUGCUAGAGCUUCAAUAUGUUGUGGUUACGUCGGUAAACAGGCGAGAUCCAUGUUCAACUUGAGGCACCAAGUGUAGUGAUAGAACCCCGUUCCAACCCUAACUCAAAGACAGAUUUCAGUAGAGUAGAACACCAAUAAUGUUCUUUUUUUGGGUCCUGAACAAUGAUAAUAUCAUUUGUGCACACAAAACUGACACAUUUAUUAGAGAAUAUGGGGAAAUGUAUUGGUUUAGUGUGAACAAAUAACAUUGCCCCAAGAACACAUAAUUGAACUAUAACUAUUUUGCAACUACUAAAUUAAGAAAUGGCUCGUUUGUAGGAAUUACAACAAGUACGGUUUUGUUUUUGUUAUACCAAUAGCUGCGUUUUCUGUUGGCCAUGAGCCAUAGUUUUUCAUCAAUAAAUCCAAGCCAAAACCAAAACCAAAAAGAAAAAGUAAAGAACCACCACGGGGUGGCCUAGUGAUUGGGGGCAAAUCAUGGGUUCAAUUCCUGACGCUAGUGAAUCACAUGAUGGUGGCCAAGAAGAGGUUGAAAUGCCUCUGUGAGUCUUCCCGGCCUCUAGAAGGGUGGACUGCGGUGGCGAAGCCACCAAUCGGUCCCUUUUUUUUUUUUUGGUUAAAGUUAAAAAAGAAAAAGAAAAAAAAAUGGUAAAGUAGGCUUAGAUUUUACAACUACUUUGGCUAAAGCUAGUAGGUAGGACUGUCUGAUGAUCCUUGCCCUGCAAAAGUUAGGUUUACUACCACCUGGUUUGGGAGCUUCAUUUGUUUUCGUUGUGAGAAUACAACCUUCCACCAAUGUCUAUAUAGUGUGCAGUUGCAGAAAGAUGAGUGUGCGGGUGCAAAGCCAAGAGCUUAUGCCUACCAACAUAGCACCAAAGAGUGUAAACAUGUAGAGAGAAGCUCUCCUAUCCGAUCAAGCCAUGACCAACACAAAGAGAGAGUUGUCGAAAUAAGAUCUUCCGAAGAGGAAGCCACACAAAGUUUGUGAGCGUAGGAGAAUAAUAGGUCUCUUCUCAAAGCAAUUGAGGAGUCAAGGACUCCUAUCAUUGCAUUUUCUGAAAUUUUGCAUCCUCAACUUGGUGUUUGGACGGACCUUUCAAGAUCCUUCAAUGUACAGAGUUUUCAAAGAAAUGAAAAUUUUGGCAAUUUUUUAUAAGGUGAAUCACUCGGAACUACAAAAUUAGAGGGAAAAUUUGAUACUUCUCAUACUUCUGAGGGAUUCACCUUGUAAAAAAUUGGCCAAAAUUUUCGUCACUUUUGAAUGUUCUCUACAUUGUAGGAUCUUAAUAAGUUCAUCCGAACACCAUAUUAUGGAUGCAUAGUUUUCAGAAAAUACGAUGAUACAAGUUUUGAUUCCUCGAUUGCUUUGAGAAGCUUCGACAUAUUAGCAAAGGUUUGGUGAGCUGUGCUGCCCACGUAGUAAUGCUGGAGGAUGAACACACUGGGAAGAGAUAUCGGAGAUUAUGAACAUGGGGAAGAUAAUGACCUUCACAAUGUCUGUGUAUUAACAAGAUUUUGCAUUUUGUUUUGGUUUUUUUUUCCAGGUGUGAAGUUUGAAGCUUGCUGUUUGGUUCUACUUUUGUGUUUCUGUGUUGGCUAGCGCUUUUGUGUUGCCUCAUGUUGGAGAGAAGGAAAGAGGAAAAGUCACAAUUUACACUCAUGAAUUGAAAGUUGUAAUUAAGUUGCAUUUCGUUUCUUCUUUUGGUGAAAAAAACGAGAGUUCAUUUGCUAUAUAAAAACUCUAGUAUUUCUUUCUAUAAAUAGAAUAGGAUUAUACGAGAUUCCUCAUAAUAGUCAAUGUUGUAGGCAUAGCACCCACCUGGCCGAAGAGAGGAGACCAUUACUUUCGGGGGAAAAAAGACUCACAGUUACAUUAUCUAUAAAUAAAUAUACUUUCAACUUUCAAGAAGGGAGAAGGCUGAACUGUAUCUUCAACAAGGUUUCUGCUCACAUUUUCAUGAUUACAAGUUAGACAACAUGUACGGAAAUACAACGAAAAUAUGAAUUGUUGAAGGGAUUACAUGAAUUAACAGUUGAAUAUCAGAAUGCGCAACGAAUAAGACCAACAAAAUAGAAAGAAUAUUAUUAAAAGAAUGAGAAUGCCAAAACGGUUACAAAACCCUAAGAGGCUAUAUUAUGACUGACUUGUUAUUCUACGAGUUACAAAGCAUCAUAUAUAUAGAGAACUAAUCUAACCCUAAUAAGCAAGAAAACGAAACCCUAAUACUAACGGGCUAAGCCCAAAUUCAAACAAUAAAAUAAAUAACUAUUUUCCAACAUUAACGACACAAAAAGGAACUUGAGAAAAUGUAGAAACUUUCCACCAGGUUUGGUGAAAGCGUCUCUGAACCCACCGGCUACCCGGAUGUGUUCUUGCAGCAAAUAACCGGCGAUGAGAAGACAUUACAACAUCAAUCCAGUCGCCCCUCACAGUGUCCGCAGAUAAAUUAGGAGCAACCACUAGAAGAAGAAAUUGGGAGCAGCCUCUCCAUAAAUGGGGUAAGGCUAGCCGACAUUCACCUCUCCCAGACCCUGCGUAAAGCGGGAGCCUUGUACACUGGGUACGACGACCACUAGAAGAAGAAUCAACUCUCCCGGCAUUUCCAGCCAGUCUGGAGGUUAUAUAUCAUCAUAGUUAGUGGCCACAACCGUAAACAGAAUGGGAUUAGUAAGCAACAAUUUUUGUUUAGUUUGUCUGCUAAUCAACCCCAUCAGCUUUGUCAGUUGCUGCCAAUAUUCUCUGUUCUUUUGGUUCAAUUCACAUUGGAGGUGUGGUUCUAAAGCUUAUGUACCCACAGCAAAACAGACUCGGACAAUAGGAUGAUCCGGGAGCUAACUCGUUUCAAAAGACGAUCCAUCCCGAGCUACUAGAGCUUCAAUAUGUUGUAGUAACCCCAUUAAACAGGCGACAGCCUUGUUCAACUUGAGACACCAAGUGUAGUGAUACAACCCCGUUCAAACCCUAUCUCAGAGUUUCAGUAGAGUAGAACACCAAUAAUGUUCUUUUUUCGGUCAUGAACAAUGAUAUAUAAUUUGUACACACAAAACUGAGACAUUUAAUAGAGAAUACAAGCAAAUGUGUUAGUUUUGUGUAUACAAAUAACAUUGCCCCAAGAACAAAUAUUUGAACAAAAUCUAUUUUGCAACUACUAAAUUAAGAAAUGGCUCGUUUGCAGGAAAUACAAAAAUUAUGGUUUUGUUUUUGUUAUAGCAAUAGCUACGCUUUCUGUUGGUCGGUCAGCCAAAGAUUUUUCAUCAAUAAAUCCAAGCCAAACCAAUACCAAAAAGAAAAAAGAAAAAGUAAAGUAGGCGUAGAUUUUAAGGAAAACUAAUGAAAAUAGUUUGAAAACUGUGAGUUUUAAUGAUAAUUAUUUUGCAACUACUAAAUUAAGAAAUGGCUCGUUUGUAGGAAAUACAAGAAUUAUGGUUUUGUUUUUGUUAUAGCAAAAGCUGCGCUUUCUAUUGGUCGGUCAGCCAAAGAUUUUUCAUCAAUAAAUCCAAGCCAAAACCAAAAAGAAAAAAGAAAAAGUAAAGUAUGCAUAUAUUUUUUGGAAAACUAAUGAAAAUGGCUUGAAAACUUUGAGUUUUAAUGAUAAGGACAAAAUAAAUGGUAAAGUGAAUAGUACCAGGAUUGACUUUUUAGUAUAAAAAUGUGGUUUUUCGUUAAAGUGAACAGUACCGGGAGUUUUUCGUUAAAGAUCCCUAGAUUUUACAACUACUUUGGCUAAAGCUAGUAGGUAGGACUGUCUGACGAUCCUUGCCUUGCCUUGCCAAAGUUAGGUUUACCAUCUUCUGGUUUGGGAGUUUGAUUUGUUUUCCUGGUGAGAAUACACAUGAUAGGAUUUUUAGUACUUACGUAAACAAGGUUAAAAGCAUACAAAAUACUUGCAAGAGUACAAAUUUGUUGUAGUAUAUAUACUCAUGCAAGGUCGUUCUUCACAUGAAUUAUUUAAAUAAUCUAUGUAAAAUCAAUUCUUAAUUAAUUAAUUAAAACAAAAUUUUGGAAAAUUUGAUUUUGGAAUUUUAGAUACUAAAAACGAAUUUUAAAUAACGUAUAUUUAACAUGCAAUAUGUCUAUGAUAUUCUGAUCAAAUGUAAACAUGCAAGACUCAUUAAGUUAUGUGAAAACCCUUCAAAAAACCAUGCAACACCUAAGAGCGUGAUAUUCGUCUUACGUGAAAUUACAAUUAUUGACCACAAGAAGCAAAUACCCAAUCCUCCGUUGAUAUUUCGACUGAAUUGCAUCCAAUUACUUACCUAAAUGGUGAUCAAACAUUAAUACAUAGAGACAAUUUAAACACAGUGAUUAAUAAUUCAAAGUAUACAUGCAUAAUAUCAUAAAUAAUUCAAAGUAUUCAUGGCCUCGCUCUAGCAAAAAUGGAUUAGUUACACAUAUUCAUAAUUAAAAUCAAAGAAAAUAUUAUUAUGAAAAAAAAGAUUGAAAACACCUUAGAGUAAAAGUCUGAAAUUUUCCAAGAACCUUAGCCAAUUUCCUCUCUCCAAAGUCACAUAAAAGAGAAGAAGAAAAAGACUUGCCCAGAAAAAACUUGCCUUGCCAAAGACCUCUAUCGCUCUACAUAAGCUAUCCAAUAAUCCCCUAAUAAAAGUCUUUGGAUCCAAUUAGGACACCAAAUAAUAAUAAAAUAUAUUAGAAAAUAAAGCCCGAAUUAAGCUAUUAGAAUAUGAAAGGAAAUUGUCCAGCCACGUUUUAUGUGACAGUCUGUCCCGAACGUAUAUAUUAUUCAUCCUUGAGAACGUGGAAAUUUCUAUUAUACCCUUUUUAUUAUUGAGUUGUGUGUGUAUAAACUAGGGUUUUGGACCAAUAGGUUCUAUUCCUUAUUAUUUGGACCUAAUUAGAACAAAAGGCCUAAGGUUUUGGUUGAUUGACUGCAACUGGACCACACACGCAUACCCUCAUCUUAUCCCGUUGACCUUUCUCUCUCAUCCCUCUUGCAUUUUCUUCCAUGUUCGUACAAUUGUACGGACAAACCUUGAACCUUCACUUCUGUCCUCAGAUCGAACCAAUGGAGACCAUAUUCAAGUUCCUUGCGAGCCCAGGAACCCAGUGAUACGAACGUGAAGAUCUCAUUUUCCCGAGAACCUGAGAACCCAGUUUUGGGUUACUGUUCAUUCACUCGUGAUUUCGAAGCUUUUAGGAGAUUUUAAGCUACUAGUGAGCUUUAGGACGUCUUCACGAAGUUCGGAGAAGAAAAACGAAGUUUUUUGGACGUCAGGAAGUUGAGUUUAUCAAGUUUCAAGUUUGGCCGGAUUAUCGAAGUUUCUCCGGCGAGAUUCCGUUGGUCUUAGGUCCCCAAAGUGGUAAGGUUUUGUUCCUCUCAUCCUAAGCUUUAAUUUGGUAUAGAUUUCGUGGAUUUUGGUUGAAAAUCGAAAAAGAUAUGAAGGUUUGAGUAUUUUUCCAGAAACCGGCACCCGCGACGAUCUCGGACGAUUCAAGGAAGACGAAGGGGAAUAUUCCGUCAAGUCUGACAGAAUAUUCUAAUGGUGUCAGGUAACGCCGUUAAUUUCUGUUAAGGUUUUAACGGAAUAUUCCUAUCAGCAGUUAAGUUUUAGUUAGGGUUUGGCCGUACGUAGGGGUGCGUGGGUGGUUGGAAAAUUUUUCUAAAAAUUUGGGGAUGUUCCUGAGGUUGAGUAGAUCAUGGUGGUAUAUUCAAAUACCGAAUUUGAGUUAUUUAAGAGAAGUUAUUUCCUAAUUUUGUGUAUAUGCUUUAAAUAACGUUUAUUCAGUUAUUUCGCAUAUAGGUGAAACCUAUCCUGAGGACGAGCGCUAUCAAUUGAGGCUCAGGGGCUACGACCUUUCGACAUAUCAGUGAGUGGGCUUUUGGUUUUCCGUAUAUACCUAUAUACUUGAGAUUUUUCCCAGAAAAUGAAUUUGAAUGAUUAUACGUUUUUGAAAUGCCAUGCAAAGUAUCUGCCUGUUUUAUUUAUGCAUUAGUAGUUGCAUAUAAUUAUGAUUGGUGCUGCGAACGCACAAGUAAGUGCUAGAUAAGUUCAUAAAUUAAAGAUUUGAGGUUACUUCAGUUAUGUGAGAUAUAAUGUGAUGUAUUGAUAGCUUAUAAACUUGCACCCCAGUGUUAGUGCUUCCGUCCAGAGUUAGGGCACAGUCAUUCACGUGAUGUUCACCUCCCGCACCAUAUGCUCACCUUGGAUUCAAGUUAGGUGCACAUGCUUGUCAUACAUACCACUUUAGGUGGUUCCGACUCGUAGGUGACCCGCGAUUAUUUGCACAACCUUCACGUGAUUGUAGCACUAAAUCAUAUUUAUUUUACACAUAGUCCUGUCGUACAUACCACUUUAGGUGGUUCUGACUCAUGUGCAGGAUUUGAUUUGAUUUUGAUCUGAUUGAGAUUGGUUAUGAGCUAUAUACUCAGCCGUGCAGAUUGAGUUAGAGGGAUUUAGAUGAUGCUAUAUUUGACAUUGAUAUAUUUUGCCUGGAUUACUUAUGGCAUUGCAUUGAGAUACUUUGACAUGGUAUACUUCUAUGGAUUUUCAUCUUGAGUAUGAUUUCUGAUAGAGCUUAUUAAUAUUAUUAUUAUUAUUAUUAUUAUUAUUUUCUAGGAAAUUAUACAGGUUUUACGGCGAGGGGUUAAAACUUUUGAGAAAUGAAACGAUUUUCAAAAGCUUUGUUUUUGCCCACUCACACUUUCUGUUUUGCGCCCCUCCAGGUUUUAGGUAGAAGUGCUUGGUGGAACAUGAGGAUUUCGACGAGGGUUCUGACAGAACAUCACAAUGUAGGAUCAUCUUUGGGUGUUGUAUAAUUAGUACUUGUCCUGCUUGACUGCAUCUAGGAUAUUUAUGCUUUGGUUGUGUAUUUCACAUUUAAUCUCGCACUAGCACUCUAUCUUAGCUAUUACUGCUAGUAGUUUGGUUUUUAUUCAUUCAUAUUUCCCUUAUAUCUUUAUUGCUUCCGCACUGUGCACAUGGCUACGUCACCCUCACGUGACGGCUAACAUGCCUCGAUCUAGGUCGGGGUAUGUUAUUUUAGCCCUUAAAGAUUGGAACAACUUGAACACAUCUUCAAAAGGGGCCGAAUCCGAAAUAGGCCAUCUUAGGCUCCAAAACUCGCAAUCAAGCCUAAAAUGUCACUUUUCCAGCACUACGUAUUGCUCCUUUAUUCUAUCGCUAGAAAAUAAUCGCUUGACGGAAAAAAAAUCUGAUAUUUUGAUACGAUCAAGCUAAGUGACUCACAAAUGUUCUCCAAUUGGGAUUACUCCAAAAUUCAUCCAUUUGAUCACGUUUUGCCCUUGAGGAAGUUGAAAGUCCUAUAUUGGAAAUACAAUUCAAAGAUCAAAAUUGUUCCAAAAUAAACUAAAAUUAGGGUAAAAUAUUUAAUAUAAUAUUGACUCAUCAAAUACCCCAACUUAGGUUUUUCCAUGUCCUCAAGCAAAAUAAGACUCAAACGAUCGCAAAAACUUAACAAACUAGACACUUAGUUAAAACUUAACUAAGACAAAAUUUCCACCUUCAAAUCGCAACCCAUAGAAAAUGUUAAAAACUAGAACAUCUUUUCAAAAGUUCCAAUGAAUCCCACCACAAAGUCUAAGCCAUUUAAAGCUACUUAGAAAAGAAUUCAUGAAUUUCAUUUGGCGUAAAGUGAACUAAUAGAUUUGAGGAGACUCGAUUAAAAUCCUUACAUGUCGUCCUCUUUAUUUAGUACUUUACACACUUGUAUAUUCAUUUUUUUUUUCGAAUUUUUUCAUAUAUAUAUUUUCAGUAACAGUAAUGGUCAUGCAAUGUCAGUUUACUUAAAUUUUCGAUCCAACCCAUGUAACGAGCUUUAGGUCAAUGACUCCCAAACCACCAGGGGCUUUAGGGUACUAGGUAUAGUACACCCCUAAAGACUUUUUAACUCGAGCUGAAAGGCUAUGAAAUCAACCACCCACCAUGUCCCAUGCCAAAACUUUACCGUUUGAUGCGAGAAUCACGAUUGAUUAGGCAAGACUGGCCUAGUUACUAAGCAAAGUCUCGGUGGAACAAUUAUUACAUUAUUUGUAACACAUACUAAACUUUACUUUAUUUCAAACAAAAAAUUAAAACAAAAAAUAACUUAGACGAAAAAUAAGUGCUUCAAUCUCACUUCUCAUAAACCAUGUUGGUGUGAUGUGCAAAUUUCAAAGUAUAACUCAUGAAUUAGUGUUUGAGCAAAAACAAAUAGAAAAAAGGACCCUGCUACGAGAUUAGUUUUCACCAUGUCUAUUUGUUCUAAUGUUUAAAAUAAGGGAACUUUAACGAAAAGCACCCGGUACUGUUUACUUUAACGAAAAACCACAUUUUUACACUAAAAAGUCAAUCCUGGUACUAUUCACUUUACCCUUUAUUUUGUCCUUAUCAUUAAACUCAAAGUUUUCAAGCCCUUUUCAUUAAUUUUCCUUUAAAAUAAACUAUGAAUAUUAACUAAAAAAGAAUGAAAAUCUUUUUAACCAACUAAAAAAUUAAAAAUUCUUAAAUUUACUUUCCCACCCCAAACUUAAUUCACGCAUUAUCCCCAAGUAAUAAAAGAGAUCAAAGAAAAGACAUUAAAAGAAGUUUAUAUAAAAAAAUAAAAAAUCUAACAACUUGACUGAAAUAAAGAAAAUAAAACAAAAAGAAAAAUAAAAAUAAACACAAAGGAAAGAUGGUACCUGGGCUAAAAAUGGAGUCCAAGAUGUGGAGAAAACAAUUGGGGCCUACUCGAGGGCAAUCCAACAAGAACCUUAGCAGCCCACAGAAGGAGAAAAGAAAUGGCUUGAAAAUAAUAGUCACACACCAUCAAGGAGAUUCGAGUAGCUUGCCAAUAGGUUAAUAUACACGGAUCCACUUGCACCAUUCCCACGUGUGAAGGAAACCUAGCAGCUGCCUAUUUAAGAAACUUUUAACACCUCGCCGUUUCCAGACAACCUCUCUCUCUAGAUUUUCCCUGCAAUCUCGAGCCCAGCGCCCAUUCCUACAAACCCUAGCUGCUUAGUGCAUCAAUACUUCGCUCCCAUUUCUCUCCCAGCCCUCUCUCUCUCUCCCCCUCUCUCUCCCAGCCCUCUCUCUCUCUCCCCUCUCUCUCUCCAACUCUUUGGCUAAAGCUAGUAGGUAGGAGCCACCACUAAGUUCUUAUGUGUGAGCGUAGGAGAAUAACAGGUCUCUUCUCAAAGCAAUUGAAGAGUCAAGGACUCCUAUCACUGCAUUUUCUGAAAAUAAUGCAUCUUCAACGUGGUGUUUGGAUGGACCUUUUAAGAUCCUACAAAAUUUUCAAGAAAAGAAAAUUUUGGUACUAUUUUUACAAGGUGAAUCACUCGGAAGUACAAAAUCAGAGGAAAUUUUUUGGUACUUCUCAUGGAUUGUAAGAUCUUAAUAAGUUCAUCCAAACACCAUAUUGAGGAUGCAUAGUUUUCAGAAAAUACAAUGAUACAAGUCUUUGAUUCUUCUCUUGGAAGCUCAUUGUCAUCUAUGAAGGUUUUCAUCCCCUUCUGAACCAAAUUUGCUAUACAAUUGGUCUGUAAGUUUUAGCGUGUAUUUCAUCUUAAGCUCCGAAAUGUAUCGUAUCGCCAUGAAUAGGUAAUAUACUGCAGGCUAAAAGAGUUGGGAAUGGCAUGCGUACUUGGCUUAUUGAUCCUCGAUUUUAUAUUAUAUAUCUAAUCAUGUUCUUAGUAUGUUUUGAUAAUUAUUUUAGUGAAAUUUUGAUAUUUAUUUUUAAUGUAGGACUUGUGAAUUUUUUGUUUUGUGAGCAAAAAAUGAUCAAACGGAUGAAUUUUGAAGUAAUUCACGGAUGUUUGUGAGUGCUUCAACUUGUUGUUUGUGUCGAAGUUUCAGAUUUUUCUAGGCAAGGAAAUAAGGAACUAGCGUGCGGUGCUGACAAAGAGGCGUUUUGAGUUUAUAGGGGCUUUUUGGCUUCCAAAAUAGUGUUAGGUCUUUCUGCAGAUAUGUUCAGGACAUCUAAAGCUUUAAAAAGAGCCAUCUGAGGCCUAUUUUGAAGCUGAUUUAGGGCCUGCACCUGGACGUGGUUGUUUGGUUGCUGGCAGAUUUUCCUUAUCAACUAGGGAUUUUGUUUCCUAGUUUCUCUUAAUUUGUUUUGUUUCCUAGUUUUUAGAAGACCGUUUUCUAAGAAGAAUUUAAAUUGUAGUAGUAUAAAUAAAGGGGCCGGCCUAGGAAUUCUCUACACAACUUAGGAUUGCCGAAGCUCUGACAAAUUGAAUACUUAAUUGUGGUUUCACUCUUUUUCUAUUUGAAUAAAAUUCCUUUAUGAAUAUGCAUAACUAACUCUCCUUUGUUAGGGCGAAGCCAUGAGCCUUAGCAUGAAUAUGUAGUCUUUAUUUAAUUGCUUAUGAUAUAAUUAUGCAUGUAUAUUUUGAAUUAAUAAUCAUUGUGUUUAAACUGUCUUUAUAUCAUAAUGCUUAGCUACCAUUAGAGUGUUUAGAUAAGUAAUCGGAUGCAAUUUCUAUUGUCAUGUCACUGUGAAUUUGAGGAAUUCUUCUUGUCAUUGAUAAUUGUAAGUGCACUUAGGGUGAAAGUCACAUCUUAAGGGUUGCAUGAUUUUUCAAAUGGUUUUGCACAAAGCGUAAUGAGUCAUUGCUUGUUUGAUAUAUGUUCUAUCUUGAAUGACACAAGUAGAAUAUACAUUAGGAAAACUUAACCUUCAAAGUUGCAUGCGUAAUUUUUAAGUUAUGAUUUUGUUUUUGCUAAAGUUAGGUUUACCACCUUCUGGUUUGGGAGUUUCAUUUGUCUUCCUUGUGAGAAUACAUGCCUCCACCAAUGUCUAUAUAGUGUGCAGUUGCAGAAAGAUGAGUGUGCGGGUGCAAAGCCAAGAGCUUGUGCCUGCCAACAUAGCACCAAAGAGUGCAGACAUGCAGAGAGAAGCUCUCCUAUCUGAUCAAGCCAUGACCAACACACACACAGUUGUCAAAUAAGUAAGGAUAUUCCGAAGAGAAGUCACCUAUCAUUACAAUUUUUUUUUAAAAUUAUGCAUCCUCAACGUGGUGUUUGGAUGUACUUGUUUAGAUCCUUAGAUUUACAAAAUUUUCAAAGAAAAAGAAAUUUUGGCAAAUUUGUUACAGGGUGAAUCAUUUGGAAGUACAAAAAAUCAGAGGGAAAUUUUUGGUAGUUCUGGUUUCACCUUCUGAGGGAUGCACCUUAUAUAAGUCAAUAGGAAAAAAAAUUUGUUGCUUUAAAUAUUCUUUACAUUGUACGAUCUUGGCAAAUUCAAUCCAAACACUAUCUUGAGGAUGCAUCAAGUUUUCAGAAAAUACAAUGAUACGAGUCUUUGAUUCCUCAAUUGCUUUUAGAUGGUGAUCUUUCUGCUCUUUUUGGAAGCUCAUUAUCAUCUAUAAAGGUUUUAAUCCCCUUCUGAACCAAAUUGCUAUACAUAAAGUUGUACCGUGUAUCUUCACCUUAAAGCUCAAAAAUGCAUCGUAUCGCUAUGGCUAGGUAACAUACUCCAUAUUCUUUGGUGUUGUGGUGAUAACUUACUGCAGGCUGAAAGAGCUGGAAAUGGCAUGCGUACUCAACUCAUCAACGACUCUCUUCUUGUACGAACAUGUGGAGGCUCUUCCUUAACUGGAGUCCUAUAUUCCUGCGAAGCAGUUUCCUGCUACCUUUGACGUGAACGCAACACUCAAAGGACAAGGUUAAAAAACAAUUGCUAGUUCAGUGUCGGUUCGAAGGAACGAAGGUGAUUUUUGCCUUGCCUUGUAAUAAAGUUGAAAAGCGUUGGAAGGGUGAUUGGUUGUGCCCAUACUUUUUCUUUUGUGGACUUACCUUCAUGUAUAAGCAGUAUGUUCAUUGAUACGCACAUUUAUAAUUGUAAUCUAUUUGUCCACAUGCUUAGUUCGAGCAUCGAAAACAGGAUGAAAAGAAGAGGGUUGUCCCUUUUAUGUGUGUGCCGUGUUAGUUUUGAGCGUAUUAGCAAAGGUUUGGCAAGCUGUGCUGUCCACGUAGUAAUGCCACAGGAUGAACACACUGGGAAGAGACAUUGGACAUUAUGAAUGUAUGAAUUACAUGCACGCAAACACAAGAAGUAAGAAAGAUGAACCGCAUCUUCAACAAGGUUUCAGCUCACAUUUUCAUGAUUACAAACAAUACGACAUGCACGCAAAUACAACGAAGGUAUGAAUACAUGAAUUAACGACACAAAAAGGAACUUCAGAAAAUGUAGAAACGCAAAAACACUCCAAAUGAAGCAUGAUGGCAAGCAUGGCAGUGAAAGUCUCUAUAAGAUAUAAAGUACAAUGGCCCAAACAGGGUAGACGAACAGAAUGAUUAUGCCAACAGUGUUCGAUAUUCCACCAGCUUUGGUGAAAGCGUCUCUGAACCCACCAGCUGCCCGGAUGUGUUCUUGCAGCAAAUAACCGGCGAUGAGAAGGCAUAUUACAACACCAAUC